UGCUAUGCAUCUUGCUACUGAACAUAGAGAAAGUUGAAGCUCUCAUCAAAUGUUUGAGUGUCUUUAUUGGAUCAUGUCAGAUUGAUUGGUUUAAAUUUCUGUUAAUGAUUCUAUGAACUUGAGUCCUGUCUCCAUUAUGAACUUGAGACCUUCAUGUGGGAUUGUGGAAAGAUAUUAUAGGAGAAUGAGGAGAAUUCUACCUUAGAAUUUCUAUUCUGGUCAAGAAUAGGCUCGGGACUAGGUUCGGGUUAGACAGAUGAGUGUAGUGCUCUUUAUAAAAGGCUUUCCCUUUGCUUUUAAGUAUAGCCUCUGCUAGAUAUGCUAGAAUGAUAGUUUAUGGGAGGAUGGGGGCCAUUGUUCCCCUCAUUUUGGAAGAUAUUUUUAGAAUUGAGAGAUAUGGGAGGUGGAUCUAUUAAUGGAGCUCAUUUAUGUUAUGAGUUCGCAAGCAGUAGAGCAAAUUUGAACUCAAAAGGCCACUCUCCAUACGCCUCAUGCGUGUUAUAGAUGCUUGUUUUUAGAUUUAAUUUAAAGAUCACAUCAAGCCUAUUUGUUUUCGAUGUGGGAUGGGAUAGAGAAUUUUUUACCAAAAAGGGUGGAGUAGCUUUGAGCUAAAAUGGAAAUUGCACUGAAACAAGAUUAAGACCAAGGUCCACUAACCAACUAUCUAAUCAAUUCUUCACUGUGGCUCACAUGUGCUGUAACCUCAUCUUUCAAGAAUUAAUUUAAAGCCCUUAUCAACUCUAUUAGUUUCCGGUGUGGGACACUGGGGUGACCCGUUUCAAACCUAAAGCCCAUUAGGUCACUCUCUAGUUUCCAUUAUGCAAAAAUGGAUGGCAUUAGGCCACUCCCCAUUAUGCCCACAUGAGUCCAAUUCUAUGUUUCUCGAUUUAAUUUAUGCAAAAGGAUGUUAUUGCAGGCCAAGGGUUGGCCAGUGAGCCACUUUUGUAAAAUAAUGUUGUAUAUAUAUAUAUAUAUAUAAUUGGAUGUUUUAAAUUUUUGCUCAAAUAAACAUGAAUAUUUAAUUCCACAUUUAUUUUUGUAAUGAUAAGUAUGAAAAUAAUAUAAGUUAAACAAUGUAAUAAUUUUUAAAAUUAUAAAAUAAUAGGAUGUAUAACUUUGAUAUGUAGAUAAAAUUAAAUAAUGGAAAUUUUCAUCUAUCUUGAAUAUAUGUUCAAGCUUACAUACUAUACAUUGUUUUAUUUAAUAAAAUUAAACUAUUAAUACAUUUAUAUUUAUUUGUUCAUGAUUUAAUUUAAUACUAAAGAUGAAACAAUAAAAUAUUACUAAGCUUUUAAAUUGUUUAUGUAUUUGCAUAUAUUCUUAAUUUAUUAUAGUUAUUAUUAGUUUUAAUAACAGUAUAAAUUAUAUAUUUAUGAAGUCAUGUGGAUAUCAUGGUUUGACUGUGGUUGAACCACCGAUUUGACUAAUGAACUGUGGUCAAUAACUUUUUUGAUUCAAUGACUAGUUCAGUUUUGAAAACAUUGUUUGUCCCUUGGCCCAAAAGUUUGAGGUACCUAUGCUCCAUUGACAACAUGUUUUGUUGUCUAGGAAUGACAUGGAGGAAGAUCUCAACCAUUGAACUCCUUAUGAGGUGUGGAUGAUGAUGAACGGAUGUAGUCUAAUGUUAAACUAAUGAAGAAUCAGAAAAUCGCAUUCUAAUUGGCAAUUUUGGAUUGCAAUGGAUGUUUCUAGAUUCAGUUAAAGAUCUCCUGAUGGGAUAGAAGGUUCAAGGUUUGGAUAAGUAGCAGAAAGUGUAACAUAUGGCUUCCUUUUGCUUGUUUUGAUGCUUUUAGAGACAGCAUAAUGAUCAAAUAUUGAAUGACAAAGUUUCUUGAUUAAAAAUUAGGAGAGCUUUGUUAGAACCUUGUUGGAGUGGUCUAGAGCUUUAUUGGGGAUUGAGAAUUUUAGAUUGUUGAAUUUCUUAGAUAAUCUCAAGUAGGAAUAGUUAGCUUUAUGUCACGGGCCUAAAGUUCCAAUGCAGUAGCACGACCCUUGUGGUGACCCCUGUGGGCAUGAAUCAAGGGGCUUAGUCUGCACGUCAUGCAUUCCAAUUGCCCUAUGUUGAUUGGUUUUGUCUUGCCAUGGACUCAUUAAUGGAACGACUCCAGCUCCUGACCAAUUUGUGUAGGAGUGGCCAAACUCCUCUCCAUUAUCAAGUCCUUGACUAGUAACAAGCUCUCCAAACUUAACCUGUCGGCGUGCUUGAACUUUGAAGAAGCUUCCAACACCACUUACACGCCCUUUCCUUGAAGCAAUUCCCAUUUCAUUACGCUCAAAUCAGUCAACAUACUAGUCUUGAUUAGCACCUUCGCUACGGUCAUGGACACCAAACAAACAGUUCGUGACACUCUCCCCCACCCAAUCUCUUGCACGCCCUCGUGCAGGGGUUUAUGUCUUUGCCAAAUGAUGCCCUCAAACGUUGCUGCUUCCCAUGAGCCAUCAAUCACCAAAGGUCCGCUGUUUAUACCAAAUGGGCCGAAGGGGACAUCCACUCACCCAGGAUGCGACAUCCACUCGUUGUAUUAACCCAGUAACACCCCGAAAGUGUUAACCUAGUAACACCUCGGAACUGUUAACCCAGUAACUCCCCGGAAGUGUGCACCUAGACACGAACUUCCACCCUUAGUAGGCGACACCCCUAUGUGUUACUAGAAUAACCAGCGACACCUUGCAAUCUAGAGGCACCCAUAUUCCCUCAUAGGUCCUCAUAAGUGUAGCUUCGCUACACGCCACAAUGCCAAUCUUUCCACUGUUGAAACAUGAGGCUUCAUAGGCUACUUGUAUUGCCAUCAGGGAGAUAACUCUUUGGCCAAAGAUUGUUAGAAGGGAACACUGCUAUGCUUGACCUUCUGUCUCGUUCUGAUAGCGGCACGGCCCAUGUAGCAACCCUUGUGGGCAUGAAUCAAGGGGCUUAGUCUGCAUGCCAUCCAUUUCAAAUGCUCUAUGCUGAUUGGUUUUGUCCUGCCAUGGACUCAUCAGGGGAACGACUCUAGCUCUCGAUCAAUUUAUGUAGGAGUGGCCAAGCUCCUCUUUAUUGUCAAGUCCUUGACUAGCGACAAGCUCCCCAAACUUAACCAGGUUGGCCUGCCUGAACUUUGAAAAAGCUUCCAACACCACUUUCAUGCCCUUUCCCUGGAGCAAUUCCCAUUUUAUUAUGCUCAAAUCAGUCAACAUACUAGUCUUGAUCAAUACUUUCGCUAUAGUCAUGAACACCAGACAAACAGUCUAUGACAUUUAGCUUGCUGUUUUUUGGCUAGCAUGUUUGUUCUUGUUUGUUUGUUUUUAUUUUUAUUUAUAUUUUAUUUUUUAUUUUUCCCCCUCUAGUGCCUCUUGCGUACUUCCUGUGUAUAGAGGGUGCGCUGUCUUUUGUUGGCACUUUUAUUAUCUGUUGUUUGCCUAUAAAAAGAUUAUCCUCUUACUUUGGAUUGUACAAUAAUAAUGUGAAAUCCAUUAUCACACAACAGGAACCUACUAGUUAUUUCAGCUAUUUUUCCUUUGAUAGUUUGUAGGUCAUUCAUGAUAAGAGAAACUGUAAAAUUCGUGGUUUUCACUUAUGUACGAGAUAUUUUAUUUCCAAUUAUUGUCUCAGUGGCACUUUAUAUGGGGAUUGCGAUUUGAAUUGCAACUGGUGGAAAACAUGCAGUUUACUGUUUUAGAGGAUUUUGAUCCCACAAUUCUGGCCUAAUUUAGUAAAGUGCUAACCGGGGGGAAGGAUUUCCUGUUGAGUGGUUCUUUUUGCUAUUUGUUUCACUCUUUUUUCUUUCUUGGGGUAUUUGAAGUGUUAGUAGUCACGCCCAUCCAAAGAAAAGUGUACACCUAUAUUAGCUAUACAUUUACUUUCUAAUGCAUCUUUUUUUGAGGAAGUUAAAACAGGGGCACAUUGAAUAACAUCUUCCAUUCUAUGAUAUGUUUGAUAUAUUGUUUUAUGGAUUUUUUUUUCCAUCAGUUUUAUUUGUUAUGUAGGCAAUGCAGAUGGCAUGGGAAAUAUUAGAAAAGAAGAGCUCUACCAGGCUAGUGCAAUUCUGAAGGUGCAUAAUAGGUCAAAAGAACAAUGCAUGUUUUGUAUUUUCCCAGCACCAUUCUGGCAGCUAAAAAUCCAAGCUUCUCUAUAUGCAUCUUCACCUAGUUUUUUAUGUUUUCAUUGCUCCUGAGUUUAUUUAUCCGGCUUUGCAUUCAUACCAAAGAUAGGUGCUCACAGGACAUAGAGUAGUUCAGCUGUAAGCUUUGAAAAAAAAAUCAUCCAGUAAUUACCCUAUUAUUUUGUUUCAUUUUAACUUCUAUAUGCAGGUUCCACUUCAACAAGUGAAGAUCCUGGACCACCCAGAUUUCCAGGUUCCACCUUAACUGGUAGUAUGGUUUGAAAUACAUCUUGAGGUAUAAGUUUGGAUAUAAUCUGACUUGAGUGCCAUUAUUAGGAUGGUUUUGGGAAAGUGUGGAAUCAUGCUUUACUGGCAAAGAUCAUUGAAGAGGAAGUUAUUUCUCAUGCCAUUGACACAGUAAGAUCUUGCUUUCCAUUUGCUAGUUAGGUUAUUCCUUAGCCCACAGUGAGUUUAUUCACUAUCUAUCAUAUGGACAUGAAUUCUUGCAUUGUUAAAGGGUCUUCAACCUUUUAGCUUUUGAUGGUGUUGCAACAAGGAGUGUGUCAAACCCUGAAUCUCAAAUUCAUAAAUUAAUCCAAAAUCACAAGGAUCUAACUCGAACUUUUGAAACUUGAGAUGGUGUAAAAGGACAAUUAUGUGAUUUCCUAGGCCUAAGAUCUUAUAAUUGUUUAUGAUAAAGUAAGAACAUAAAAAAUAUGCAAAUGAUAGCUUACAAAAAUGUCAAUUUAUUUGAUUAUAUAUAUUAGGAAAAUUAAUUGUCUAGCAACUCUUAUGUUUCCCUAGCCAUGAGGCACUAACUAAAUGUAAUUAGCAUUAAACUGGGUUUAACCUAUAAUUUUAAGUGAUUGGUAUUAAACUAGGUUGAAUUCAUGAUAACCUCUAAUUAAAUUCAAUUUAUCCUAAUGCAAAGAUUUAGAUUUUAAAUAAUGCUACUUGGUAUUAUUGAUUGGCUAGAUGUUUUACUUCAUUCCAUUACGACAUUUAUCUCUAUCUUCUACACUAAUUUUGUUUUAUGUUUCUAAACUUCUGUUUUCAUAUUGUUCUUUCAGAUAAUUACUUUCGAUGAUUAUGGUGUUUCAGGCCAUUGCAAUCAUAUUGACGUGCAUCGAGGGUUAUGGUAAAUUGAUUUUUUUACUUUUAAAUUCCAUUUAUAAACUUGUUAUGUUCAAAGAACCACUUCAAUCAUGGUACAUGCGAUAAUGAUUUCAAAUCUAUGGAUGAGUUUACUAUGCAAAAUCAAUGGCUACUAUAAUCCCAUGGUUAUAUAGAAGAAAUUUCCCCAAAACAGAGAGUAGCUACUAUUUAUGACAAAAUGGUAGUUGAUGUAGCUGAAUAAUUCUAGCAUAACCAUUAUUGGUUAUGAGUGGUAUGUAAGUGCUUUUCUAUUCAUUUUUAUGACCAUGCCUAAUGUAAUCACAUGGUCAUGCAGAAGAAAUUUUAUGGGAAAGGAAAGCAAGGAUUUUUGCAAAUAGAUGGAGAGCCUUUAAGACAGUGGGAUCAAUUCUAUUUCUCUUCAUCCCUCUAGGUAUUGACUUUUGUAACAUCUGAGGGCAGUCCUGUAAGCAUUAUCUAGAUUAGAACCUAAUGUGCAAAUGUACUAGGUUGUCAAAGGAGACACUACCUAUUUGGAUACCUCUUCCCGUGGGUGUUGUUAAACUGAAUUUUGGCGGAUGUACUCUGGGUGAUUUAGGACAAAUAGGAAUUGGCUAACAGGUCAUCUUGGAAUACUGGUAUGAGUGUUCUUGAACAUGCUGCAGAGGACCUAGCCAUUAAGGAAGAGACUAGCUUUUUUGGAAGGCUUGAAGAUAGCCAAAGUUGAAGGUCUUUUUAAUCUUUUGGUAGAGGGAGAUUUACCUAUAGUUAUAUCCCAUGGUCUUGCAAACUAGGUUCCAAUCUAGCAUAAUAAGGCUCAAUUGGAUGUCUGCAAAAGCUUCAUUGAUAGAAGCCCAUUGUAAAUAAUAGAAAUAGAAAAAGUCCCAAAUUGAUUCUAAGGUCCUCUAUUUAUCCUCAAAAAUCCUUGCGUUCCUUUCCCACACAAUGGUCCAAUCAAAGUGAGGCUAGUAAUGUGCCAAAGUGUUCUACCUUGAGGAAGUCCCCCAAAAACUUUAAACGAUAUAAUCAACAUGUCCUCCACCUUUGUAGGUCAAACUCAAUCAAUUCCUGCAACUUGGAACAAUCUACGCCAUAACGUCAUUGCAAUAGAGCAAUGUAAAAAAGCAUGAUUUGUAGACUCCCUACUCCCCUUGCAUAUAACACACCAAUCUGGACUAAGCACUUUGUAUGGUCUUUUCUAUCAAAGCAAGUCAUUAGUAUUAACUUUCUUAUUUUCCACAAGCCAUGCAAAGGCCUUCACUUUUGUUAGAGCUUUGGAUUUCUAAAUAAAAUUUGUAGGAAUAAAAGGAUUUAAAUUGGUCGAAGCAGAGAUGGCAUUAAAAAUGGUACUAAUUGAGGACAAUCCCAAGGAUGUCAAGGACCAAGCUUUUGUGUUAGGAAAAGUGGGUGGCAAAUAGACUAUGUGCUAAAGCAGACAUUAGACAAGCUAGCUCCUCAACUUCUUGCUCUAAGAGGUUAUGAAAAAAAUUGAAGUUCUGAGGUAUAGAGAGGGAGGAGAAAGCCGGCACUGAGGGAAUAAUAGAGUUUCUCAACCUCACUAUUCUAUAGAUGUUUGGGAACUGCUCAGUAAGGGAUUUAUCACCUAAUCUAAGUCCCCCCAAAAGCGGAUUUUUGUAUCAUCUUUCACAAAAUAACAAGUGAAACAGAAGAGGUUCAUGGAAGCUAGAUGGGGGUUGUCACUAAUUUUGAUUUUGCCUCAAAGUGGGGUGCUCCUUUUGUUGAAUUCCUUGCUUAGUUGAUCAAGAAAUGGAUUCAUUAAUAAAGAGGGGACUAAAAUAUUUGAUCUCUUUUCUGUGUGAUUUUCUAACUCCAAGAGGGUAUCAUUUUAUAGCCCUUCCUAAUUUUUGAUCUAGUGUUGUAAGGUUGUUAUAGGGGAAGGACUUCCCAUCCUUCUUUGUACUUAAUCAUUUAAUGGCAAUGAGAUUUUGUAUUCGAUUAAUAAUAAUAAUAAUGAAGUAAUAGUAGUUGAUAGAUCCACAAAAGCUUAUGUAAAAAAAAAAUGUAAACAUAAAAAUACCUAUAAUAAAACAGGUAAUAACACCAUUCUUACUCACAAAGCGUAACACAUCCUAGUAUACAAACAUAAUCACAUCCUAGCAUUGCCAUUGCCAUGGUAUUGAUUCAAAGUCAUAUUCCUAAUGGCAAACAAUUGGGCCUUGAAGGAGCUUCACUACCCUUCUGCUUUUGAAAUUUUUGUGGAAGGUAAACAAUAGAUUGGUUCUUGUAAGAGAUUCAAUGACUCCAUCCAUCAAAUCUGCCUUACUCAACUUGGAAUGAGGGAUCGUGCCAUAUAAGGCUUAGAUCAACUCCCUCCAAAAAAAGUUUGCGCCACGAAUGUGGAAUUUGACCUGAGCCAUUAAAGUGUUUGGUUAAUUCAUUGCCACUAAGGAUGACUAAAGUGUUUGGUUAAUCCAUUGCCACUAAGGAUGAAGAAAUUGAUAUUAUUGCCUAUAUGAAAGGGCCAUCAUGGGAGGUGGAUUAAAAUUGAAAUCUGCAAAAUCUCUUUAAAAUAGUGCCAAUAAAUUGUCAAAAUUUUGUCACAAUCUCCAUAUUGCUAAUAUGAGAAUGAUAGAACACUACAUGUGCCAAAAUAUUAUUGAUAUUUCCUAAUAUUUUUGGGAAAAUAUCAACAUGGAAAGGAGAUGAUAGAGGAAAUUAUGGAGGGGAUUGUGGGCAAUAGGACAUAAGUCAACAACAAUUGAGCCCAUUUAUUGGUGAAGCUGACCAUAUAUGUUGCACACAACACUAAGACCAUGGGUGUGGAGGAGUAGGUCUAGACAUAGGAGUUGUUGGGAAGCAAUAUAUGAGGAGACAUGGUGCUAAGCAUGUAAGGCUACCAUCAUAUGUUGAGGAGUUCCUUUCCCUGAGUUUUGUAUUCAUGAGUGUAGGGACUCAUUGUAGUGACUCAUUUAAUGGGGCUCAACCUCAAGGUUAUCAUCCUUAUAGUCAUAGACAAUGAUUAACAUAUGGUAGUCAGGGGAUCUUUGAUUCUUCUUCUCGAGAAAUGUCAUAUAGAGUUCCUAAUAUGGCACAAGGAGAAAUUCAAAUAAACAUUUGAGUGGACUCACAAUUUCCUAUUCAUGGAGAAGUAGUGGAAAGGAAUCAAGACCUAUGUUUGGCAUGUUCAUAACUACAUGCAAAAUUAUGCAAACUCCAUCACAUGGUACUAAUAUUGUUUAGACCAAGAUAGUAUUUGAUUGUCGUCAAUUAUCUUCUAGGCACAUAGGUUAUCAUUUCAGUAUUAAAUGUAAUGUGUUUUCAAAUAUUGAAAUUUAUUGAAAUUUUUUUUUUUAUCUUACUUCAGUAUCAGCUAUUCACUCUCAAAGUCUUUUUUGUUAUCAACACACAUUAUAUUAUUAACAAAUGAUACUAAUUUUAUUAUACAUAUCUUAUUUUAUUAAAAAAAAAAAAACCAAUUUAAUUUGUGCAUUAUUGAUUAUGUUAUCAUUUCUCAAAAUUUUGUCUAAAAUUUCCAUGUUUUGACCUCAAUUUCAUGAUUUAAACAUUUUAACCAAUAUUGAUAUCAAUAUUUCCAUAAAAUCGAACCACUGAUGUUUCCAUUGAAAUCUACAUUUUCAUCCUUGGUUACCUUUGGGUUAUCAAUAACUUAAUUUGCACAGCUUGUGGGUAUAAUCUCAAACCUUGAUGGAUCAUACUUUGAUUCUUAAAGCCGAUCUCAAGUUUUAGGAUAAAGUUCCCUGGUUCUAUAACUGUUCUAGUAUUUUAAACCUGUGCAAACUUCUCUUGGAUAAAGUUCCAUGGUAUACUUUGAACCUAAUCCAUGGGCGAUGCAAGAUUAACUGUUUCAAGCCAUAUUGGUUGGUUUUAAGUAGUUGAGUUGUAGUGAUUCACCAAAUUUUUGCUAACAUGGGUAUGGUAGUAGUUUGUAUAAUUUCUAUGCUACCUAGUAUCAUUUGAUCAAAUGAUCAGUUUUGUGGUUUCCAUUAUGAUUGUUUGAGUUCUGAUGAUUUUUUAAUGUUCCUUAACUUACUGUAAUAUGUGAUGACACACUUCCUAGUGCCAUCCUUUUUGUUGAAUAAUUUUUUUUUUCUUCUUAUUCUUUUCCUUUUCUUUCUUUUUAAGUGAAAAUUGAAAGUUAAAAAGGAAAAAACUCUUAUAUAAUCAAAAAUCUAAAAUCUAAUGAUGCAAAACUGCAACCUGUGGGCUAUAUUGGUUUCUUACAUUGGUUGAACUGAUCUGCAAAGUCAGCAGAUGGUAUUCACUACAAUAUUUUCUGAAAUUAAUUUUUUUUCCCAUUUCUUGUACUGUAAGCAGGAUGCUCUUACAUGAUACUUCAGAGAGAAAUAUUGAAGCAUGGGAACUUGUAUGUUUUUAUUUGUUUGUUUGUUUUUCUCCUCAUGUUUUUAUUCACUUGCUAUUUUGUUGGCAUUUCAUCAACUUAGAGGGCGUUUGUUUUUUCAACUUUUUGUUGAAAACAAUUUGUUUUCAGACUUUAAGUUGUUUGUUUUUCUAUUUUUUCGUAACUUAUUAUAAACGUUUUGCUGAAUAGAAAAAAUGCUGUGUUGGUUUUUCUUUACUUUUUAAUGUUUAAUAGAAAUAGAAUAUUAAAAAAACGAACAAUCUAAUACUUAAUAUUAUUAAGCAUUAAAAUUCUAUUUAGAAUUAAGUAAAAAACAAACACCACCUUAGUGUCUCUCCCUCUCAUAAUUUUCAUAGAUUAGGUGAAGAAGGUAUAGCUGUAAAAUUCUUGCAUGGUUAUACUCUAUACCAACUGAAAGGGAAAGAAUGUGCUGAACAAAUUGAAGGUUGGAUUACACCCCUUUAAAACUAUUCAAUCCUGGAAGCCAUGGAAAUAGUUAUCGAUCCACAAGAAAUGUGUAAAAUAUUUUUUCCAUUUUUUUUUUUUGUGUGUGUGUGUUAAAACACCCCUUUUUCCUAAAUCCAUUUGAGUGGAUUUGCUUUGGUGCUGUGAGGGAGUAUGCAGCCAGAGCAUGCAGCCAUUUGGGAUAAACAUCUAGCAUUUAUUUGCAUACUUGCUCUAGGUAUUUCCACUACUUGGUGGCCUCAAGUUAAUAGCAUAACUAUAAAAGAUUGAUAUCUCACCAUUUGAUUUGAAUACUGGCUUCUUUGGUGAGAUUACUCUUAAAAUCUUUUCAAUUGUUCAAAGAAAUUGAAAAAAUUGAAUUACUAAAGUUAUUUACUAAUGCAAUCUGUUAUUAUAGUAAUUCUCCUAAAUAAGGCAAUGUCAAAUCAUGAAUCCAACCUUUAAAACAAGCAUGCUGCAUUUCAUGCUGAUUAGAUGGCCAGUAUGAGUAUGCCUAGGGGCGUAAAACUGCCAGGCAGGUGAUGUACACUGGGCCCAGCCUGGACUGUAAUCCUUAGCCCCUGCCUGGCUUUGAUCCAGUCUAGCUUAGUAAAAAACUCAGGAGACAAGGAAUCCAACAUGGUUCAUUUAAUUUAUUUUUAUUGUGGGAUUGAAUAAUUUCUUGGAGUUUUUCCCAAAGGUUUUCUGGGGCUUCUUUUUGACAUUUUAUUCCACAGGAGUUUCCAGUUACCAUAUUUAUUGAUCUCAUUGUUUUUCAGGUCAGUACAAACAUAUUACGCAAGUAUAGUGGACCAAUUGAUAUCUGGUUGUCCAUCUUAUCUUCCAUGUGUUACCCAAGUGAAAAUAUGCAUUGCUUGCUUAACAAGAAUCCUCAUAAAAGCUUUCUAGCAAUGGCCCAACACCAGAGCCAAUGGGUCUGGUAUGUAUGCUUCCCCACAUGCCCGAGUUAACUUUAUGAUGGGAUGGAAUCCUUGUACAAUUCCUUAUCUGUCAAUGUUAGUAAAUUUAUGAUAGGUUUCACUACUUCAACGAGAUGGAUCUAAACAUAAAUGGCUGACUCGGUUAUUUUUCUUCCUUUGGUAGUGAUAUCGAUUUUAAUUGUGCAGGUUCCGGAAGCUUUUUGUAUCAUUUUCCAGUUAUACUUACGUGAACAGACUUAGAAAGAUCAAGUAGGUGUGUGAGCCUUCACAAUCAAUAAUGAAUAGUUACUACUAAUCUCCUGUUUUUGUCAACUGAUGAUCCACCCACUAGUUUCAUCACUUCGACUUAGGAAUUGGCAUAUUUGCCUUUCACCUUUCUUAACUUAUUAUUUGUUUGGCAACUUGACUGGCAGAGCUCACAAUCCGGUGUUAUGAGAGCUUGAAGACCACAAUUUGUCCACCUACUGGUCACAUCAAAUAACUUGCAAGCAAACAAGGUAUUACACAUAUCCUGACUGCAUUGUAUUUUUGCAGCAAAAAGCUUUUUCCCACUGGAUUGCUCCUUGCUUGGGAUUUGUAUAGGGAUCAAGUGCAGGACAAUACAAGGCGUUGAAGAGAGCAAUUAGUUCUUGUUGAUGUGAUUGAAUUUUAUGUUUGAACAGUUGUAUUUUAUAAACAUUUUUAUUCAAAAUAAGGAUCAUCUUGAUAUUUUUAAAAAAUAAUAAUUAAAAAAAAAUUGCUUCCUUCUUUGAUCCAUGUUUUGAGAAUUCCAUCUACCCUUAAAAUCUAUGUUCUCUUAAUGCUUUAAUGUUUAGGAAGGGUCUUCCAAACAUGCCUUGCAUAGCUCCUAGCUCAUAGUUGAGACAUCUUCAUUUCCUUGGAUAAGAGCGAUAUUUUCAUUAGCAAUCAAAUGUGAGGAAAAACUUAUAUUUUUUUCUUUUUCCUUUUAAUAUUUAUUUAAUAAAAUAAAUCAGUAAAAUGUCUUUAUCAUCCUGAUUCAUGAAAUAAAAUAAUAAAGUGAUGGGCAAUCCUUAUUUAUAAAAUAAAAUAACCUACUAAGUCCUUUCAAAAUUAUUAAAAAAAAAAUAAUAAUAAUGACACUAGUAAAAUAAAUUGAACGAAAUAAAAAGGUUGGUGGGGUGAGAGAGGCUCGAACUCUCGACCUCAGGAUUACUCUUAGCUAUGAGACCUACGCGCUAGCCAACUGCGCCACCACCCCAUCCGGUAAGCUUGACACAAAUAUUUUCCUUGUUUACAUAAUAUCAAUCAUACUUUUCCUAUUUGUUCCAUAUUUUUUAAUUAUUUUUUUUCUUGCAUGUUCAAACAUAAAAUGUGUGUAAUUUUUAUGUAAUAGUUCAUUUUGAAACUAAUUUAAGUGUUGAGUCUCAUCAAAUUAUAUUACUAACAAUCAAUAAAGUUCAAUAAUGAGAUAAUUUAGUUUUACUAGCAUUUUAUAUAACAUAUUAAUUAUUCUAUUCCUUUUAAAUUGAAAGAGUCUUGGUAAUAGGGUCUUUUUGUCUUUUGGGGAGAUGAAACAAUCGAUUUUCUAAUACUAAAUUAUACACAUUACUUGUAAUGCACCUCGAGGCAACAAAAAGAAAGAGCAGUUGAGAAAAUUUUAUGAAGUUACAUUUGGAUGACAUUUUAAAGAGCAUUAUAAUACUUUGGAGAUUAUGUUCAAAUUAUAUACCAAAAUAUAAAAAAAAUAUAUUAAAUUUUAUAUAAUUAAAAUAAAAUAUUUGAAAAAAAAAUGGUAAUAUGAUAUAUUUCUAAUUAUACCAAAAUGGAAAAGAGAUUACAAAGGAAACAAGUUUAAAAUGGUAAAUUAUAAAAUUACUUAGGAAAUUAGAAAUUAAGUUGCUAAGUAAACAAAUGGUCAUAAUUAUUCACUUAUUUGUAAAUGGUGCAUAUUUAGAUUCAAUUGUUGGGAUUAAUUCAUUAUUUUUUAGAACUUCAAUUUGGGGAAUUUAAGAACAUCAAAUUUUAAAAUUUUAUUUUCAAAGCUAAUGGAAAAUGUUGAUUUUAAUGAAUUAAUAUUUAUACAAGUGAGAGUUAUGUUUUAGAGGUUUAUUAAAAUAAAUUUUAUUUCCAUUGAUGAGAGUUAAUUAAAUUUGGUUUUUUUAUAUUUUAAGGGCCUGAAUUUAAGAAAAUUGUAGAAAAAUUUAUUUGUGAUCCAAAUUAUAUGAUUUUAGUGUUUUUAUUUUCCAAACAAGGAAUAUUGAGAAAUUUACAAAAUUUAAUUAGUUGAUAAUGGGAUGAAUUAUGAUACGAAAAUAAUGGAUUUAUAAAUCUAUGGUUUUAUUUUUGACCCAUUUUUUUUAAUCCAAAUUAAUUGAUUCUUAUUGGUUUGGUUUUUGAAUAAGGAUUCUUCAAAAAAAUUUUAAAUAUAAGUUUGCUUAAUAAAUAAGAGGGAAAAGGAUAAAAAAUUGAACGUGUAUUAGUUAUAUUCAAUUUUUCUUGAAGUCAACUUUCCUAAUUCAUGGAACAUUUAUUUUUACUCCAAUUAUAUGAAAUAUGAUUAUUUGAUUUAUUUUAAGUCAACAAUUAAUAAAAAAAAAUAGGAAUUUUGUUUUAUUAAUAAAUAAAUCGUGUUCGAGAUUAACUAUCUAAUCUAUUUAUUUAUUCUUGUCAAAUUGUUCUACUUAGUUAAUGAUAUCAAAAUGAGUCAUUUAUGAUCUAACCCAUUUAUGUCCUAUUUAACCCAUAUAAAGUUAUUAAUUUUAUAUAUUUAAAAAUUAGAAAACAUUUAAAAUACUUUUUCUAAUUAUAAAUAUCAUAUAGUUAAAAAAAAUUAAAUAAUUAACUAAAUAAAAUUUUAUAUAUUUCAUUAUAUAAAUUAAAAAGAUUUUAUAAUUAAAAAUUAAAUAAAACUAUAAAUAAGUGUAAAAUUAAAAUUUUAAUUUAGUUCUAUAUUAUAAACAUAUUAUAAUUAAAUUAAUUAAGAUUUUAAAAAAAUUAAAAAUUUAAAGUUAAAGUAACUAUUUUUUUUUUUUAGAAAAAUUUUAAAUAGGUUAAAUGUAGGCAACGAAUUAUAAUCAUGUCAAUACUUAACCCAUUUAUUAAAUGGGUUAGCUGGUAGUAUCACGCUACCCAUUUCACUAUUUACAUGGAAAGAUUCGUUACAAAGCCCGUUAAGCUGUGGACAUUUCAAAUAGCAAAAUUGAGUAAAUAUAAAAGCAUUAGCAUUUAAAAAACAUAGAAACUUGAGCCAAAGAGUUUUAAAUUUAACUACGUUCACAUGGAGAUAUCGAGAGUUUUGGACCAAAAUAUUGCUAUUUUGAAAUUUUUUUUCUCAUAAAUAGAUUGGAUUUGAAAAUUGUUAGAAAAAUUGAGCUAAUCUAACUUAAGCUAAUCACCCUACAAGGGAGGUUAAUAGGGUAAUGGUCUCUUUUUGUAAAUUUAAAUUAUGUGACUACAAGAAACAAUUAUAUGCAAAUAUAUAAUCAAAUAAUAUAAAAAUAAUUGCAUAUAAAGUAAAAAAGUAAGGAAGAGAUAAUGAAAACAUAGAAUUUUUAUAGUUGUUUAUGAUUACUACUAAAAAAGUGCUCUUUUAUAGCUUGUUAUAAACUCUUUUAAACACUUUUGAGUAACAUUUAUUACCUUUUAACUCAAUUGACACAUUAAGGACCAUUGCAAGGGUUACUAAUCAGUUUUUGGCAAGUUUUGAUAGCUUUUUGAUCAUUAAAACAAGCCAAGAAUGAGGGAGAACUUUGUGUAGUCCAUGGCAAAGGAAAAGAUUCGGAAUCUCCCCUUUUGUAUAAGGAACUUGAACCUAGUGACCUAAGACUCCAAGAAACCUUUUUUUUGUAAUUAAUCUCAGUUACUAUUUUUGGUUAACUUAAAACUAAACUUUUUUCAACCAAAAUUAUGUUUUCUUUUAAAGCUAACUCAUAAAGAAAAAGCACCAAUUCAAUUCUUUAAAUAAUAUCAUGUGUGAUAUGAAAACCCACUCCUAUGGACGAUCCUAGAACCACUAUGCUAUGCUAGCUAUGCUACCCUAGUAUAUGGUGAAUUAGGUUUAUAAAUUUUGUUGAUAACUCCCGUCUGACGACUGAAUCAAAUAGGUACACCAAUUGGGGACGAAUCAGUUCAACACAACGUAACUUACAUCCACUCUCCUCUAACUUCAAUUCCAAGCUUGAGGUUCCACUAAUUCAAAACUUCCAAACCAACCCUUCAAACAAUACAAUUGGAUUAUGGUUCUAAUCCACCCUCUUGGACUUUAGGCUCCAAACACUCUUUACAGUCUUCAACAUAUACCUCACUCUUGAAUAACUCCUUAAGUGAUACCCCCCACUUAAGAAUCCCUAAGUGAUACCUCACACUUAGAUUCUUCAUCAUAAAGGUUUAUAAAUGAAGAUAAGAAACAAUUUCAUAAUAUCGUAAUACAAAACUUUAGGCUUAAAUAUAUAAGAAAAAUUAGGAUUGAAAGGUGCACUAAUGAUAUGCAAGUUUAAGAACAAUGGUGCACUAAAAAACACUCUCCUAAGGCUCAAAUAUAUUCAAGAAAUGUUUAGGAAGGUUAAGCUCUCAAAAUAAUGAAGAUUUGAGCAUUUUUAUAGAGGAAAAAAAAAAUCAAACCAUCCGUUGAGGGUUUGUUCGAUCGAGAUCCGAUUUGACCGGUUCACUAGCCGUUAGCAUUCAAUGUGUGGUAGAUGACUGUUGGACCUCGGCCGCCCCUUGAUCGCCUCGACUGCUUGAACAAGCAUUUUGGAAAAAAGAGAAGGUUUUUGCACCCCUCGAUCGGUUGAGUUAAACAGAUCGAUCGAUUCCUUAUCUGGUUCAACCGGUUGAGCCAUUUUUGGCUCAACAACCAUAUUUUUCAACUUAAAAACCUUUUAAACAAGCUUGGAAAGCAUUUGACACAAGGUUUUAGUUGAAAACAUGAAAUCAUCCAAUUUUAAAAGAUUUAAAACAAAAUAACUCUUGGAUGAUUUUGGUGCAUAAAUAAAAAAUGUAAUACAUGAAAAACCUAGUGCACCAACCUUAUAAAGAGAUCCUAUGAAGCUUAGGUCUUAAAAAACAUUUCUCUUUGAGGUAUUAUUCUUCUUAUUGAUUUUCCUUUAACUUGAUUUUGUCUUUGUGAUUACCACUUUGGAAAUCUUCUUUCCUAAUCACAUUUGAAAUAUAAUCAUUAGUUCCAAACCUUGUUUUAUUAUCAUCAAAACUGAGAUUAACCAAACCUUGGUUUCACAAAAAUAAUAUCCAAUUUAACACUUUUUACCCACGUGGACACCCUUUUACUCUUGUUCCCUCAUUUUUUAAACCUUUUGUUUCCCUCUUGUUUCUCCAUUUCAGGUCCUAUUUUUUAAUUUUUUUGCAAUCCUCACUCUCAACCCCAUACGUAGGACACUUCUCUAUUUUAGGUCCCAUUUUCUUUUUAUAGCCUUUUGGUCCUAUUUUCUUUUUUGCAAUCCUUACGUCCUUUUUUUUUUGUUGUUGCAAUCCUUACCCCUAACCCAUACUCACCAGUAAUGACAAUGGUGCAGUUGGAUGUGCGGGUUUUUAAUAAAGAAAAUAUAUAAUUUAAAUGGUCAUUCUUAAUUUAACUAUUAGUGUUUAUUUAUUUAUUAUUAUUCGAAUUAUAGUAGAAUAUGGAAUUUGAACAAGAGUAGAAGUCUACUAUUAGUUUGAAUUAAAGUAUGAAAUAAAGUUUGAAUUAUAAUAGAACUCAAUUGUAUUUGUCUAUAAAUAUUCAUAAUCAUUGAUGAGAAUGAUAUACCAUAUUUUUGUCAUCUAUUAUUCCUCUUUAUGGUAUCAGAGCUUCAUUUUUUUUUAGGCCUAUCUCUUCUUCUUCUCUCUUUCCCAACCACAUCAUGGUUGGAAAUGUUUAAAUUGCCAUAUUGAAUGCCCAAAGAACCUAAUAAACCUUUCACCCUUAUUCAUAUCUCCAAUCAAAACACCAUCAAACUUAUCUCCACCAAUUAUCUUUUAUGGAAACUCUAAAUUGAAGUACUUCUCACUGGUUAUGAUCUUUAAAAAUUUAUUGAUGGAUCUCAUCCAUGGUCCCUAUCUACUAUAAAAAAAACUAAUACAAUUGCACCUAAUUUGGAAUACCAUACUUGGACACGUUAGGAUAAAUUAAUUUUUGGUACCUUAGUUAGCUCUCCAUUUUGUCUAUUAUUCCACUCAUUCAAUAGGCCAAAACGUCACAUGAAGCUUGGACCACUCUUGCCAAUACCUAAGCACAUCCUUCUUGAGGCCACAUUAAGCCGAUUAAGGAACAACUCAAGCAUGUUACCAAAGGUUCUCAGACGAUCACCGAACACAUGUAAUUUAUAAAGACACGUGUUGAUGAACUUGCUCUUCUAGGAAAACCCAUGGAUGACGAAGAUGAAGGGAAAAACCCGGAUAUCUCCAUUUCCUAAGUCCGGAUCAGGUUAGGAACAUGCAUAACUAUCCGAGGCUUUUUCUAAAUCCUAUACACAAUGGAAAAAUAACAUUUUUAUACUUUAAAAGGAUUCAAAAAGUGCUAAUGAAAACCAUACCUCAUAUUUGGAUACUCUCGAAUCAAAUCCAUAUGGUGAAUAUGAAGAUCGAAAUCGCAAAAGUCUUGUAAACCCGAAGUCUUUCGCCCGAUGACUCAAACCUUGAUCUUGGCAUACUUCCGGUGGUAAGGAAGAGAGGGUGGAUGCUAUGGCUGUCAAUCUCUUUGGAUGAUGGAAGACAAGAGUUAUGGAAACCGUAACCCCUAGAGGGUAUUUAUAGGGUUCCUAAAUGGGCUUAUGUGAUUUGAGCCCACAUGGGCUUGGGUCACUUAAUCUAGCUCAAAAUGAGUUCUAAUUGAUUAAUUAACCCAAUAGACCCUACUAAUUAAUCAAUUAGCCCAAUCUAAAGACCUUGUUUACUUACCCCUAUGUAACCUUGCGUAAUUACCAAAACGCCUUUGUGCACAAAAGUGAACCUAAAGCCAAUCCGAUUCUUAUAACCCAUGCUAACAAGGUAUAUGAGCUCAAAGUGGAGACUACUAGGACCCAUGGGAAUAUUGACUCCCUUAGAAUCCAAUUUUAAAGUUGAUUCAACAUCCCACUACAAAGAAUCAAUCAAACUUCAGUAUCCUAUGUAAAUAACAACGAGACACUAAGUGCUUAGGUCCGUGACCUGCUAUCCAUUGUGUUCAGUCUCCCCAUGAAUUGGUGUCUGUAGUCUACCAAGGUGAAAGCUAUCAGUCUUUCAAGACUACCUCUACCAUCCUUGAGUUACAAAUCCUCCUAUUUUGUGUUUAAUUGAUAUAUCUUAGGUCUCAAAAGAGCUUCUUAUGUCAAGUUCCACUUAAGGAACUACUAUGACAUAGUUUUCAUGAACACACCUCCUUAAGAUCACCCAAGGGGACACACUGUCUCAAUCCCAAGAGAUAUCAUGAUGCCUCUAUUGAAAAUACCUAUUGCUACUGACUUCCAUCAUUGAUGACUCAAUCCAUAGGGAAUAUAUGAUCAACUUACGAUUUCACUCGUAGGUCAAAGUCAUUGCUAGCUUUAGCACAAACUCAAUAUUCUCUCAAUGUUGAGAGACAACACAAUGAAGCAGUAUGUAACCAUACACACUAGUGCACUCACCAUGGGAAACCCAUCCCGAUAGCCAAGACCAACCAUUCCUCUAAUUAGGAGGUGGUGCACUACAACCUCUAAUGGGUUGCCUAGACCCAUGAACCAAUUGUGAACAAGUCAUUUAUUUGCAAGGAACCCAUGACCUAGAUCUUCUAUGUAACUGCUAAUGUACUACGUCACGUAUAAUGCAAAAGAUGUAGGCAACAAUGCUUAUAAAGUAUAAUAUAUGGAAUGAGGAUAGAUACAAGUGAAAUUGGAACAUCAUUAAAUAAAUAAUGAAUUCUAAUUUUAUUACAUCAUGUCAUGCUUUUAAGGGCUUUAUCCCAACAUUUUCCCACCAACUCUCAAAGCAUCAUGCCUAUAAAGCAUGUUAGAUACUCAUCUGGAACCUAUGUUAUCCCUAUGACCAACAAAGACUCUCCUUGUCAAUGUCUUGGUGAAGGGAUCUACCAGGUUCUCCACAGAAGGUAUCUUAUUAACCAUCAUGUCGCCCUUUAAAAUAUCUCAACACUUUGGAGCACAAGCACAUAAUACCUUGUUCUCCUAAGAUGCUUGAGUAGAUGCUUGACAGUUGUCCAAUAUUUUGGACUUGGAUUAAACUGAUAGCUACUCACCAUACCCACUUCAAAGCAAAUAUCUGGCCUCGUACAUAACAUCACAUACAAAUGACUACCCAAUAUAAAGGCAUAGGGUACUGACUACAUGCGCUCUUUCUCCUCAGGUGUUUUAGGAUAUUGAUCCCGAGAAAGAAGAAUUCCAUGCCUAAAAGGUAACAAACCUUUCUUGCAAUCCUACAUCACAUACUUGACCAAAAGCUUAUCUAUGUAGGUAGCUUGAGAUGACACAAGUUUCCUAUUCUUGUGAUCCCUAAGGACCUUAAUCCUAAGAAUAUAUUGCACUUUUCCUAAAUCUUUCAUCUAGAAUUGAGUAGACAACUAGAUCUUAAUCGAUGAUAAUAACCUUAAAUCAUUAUUAAUGAGUAGAAUGUCAUUAACAUACAAGAUCAUAAAAACCACCAUGCUUCCCUGCAUCUUCUUGUACACACAAGGCCCUUUUCUAUGAAAAUAUCUUAUUACAUCAUAUAGAUGCUAAUAUCAAGAUAAUCAUUUAAGAACACUAUCUUGACUUCCUAUUGAACUAUCUCAUAAACAAGAUACACUGUAAUGGGUAGGAGUACUCUGAUGGAUCUGACUAUGGGCACUAGUGAAAAGGUUUCCUAUAUUUGAAAUAAUGUCUCGAACUAUAACCUUUACCUACAACCUAGCCACAUAAAAAUAAAUUUUUCCAUAUACUCCUUUGUUCCUUUUGUAGACCAACUUACAUCUAUGGGUUUUAUCCAUUUAGGUGCUUCUGUAGGAACCCAGACUACAUUAGAAUCACAAGGAUUCUAACUCUGCCUCCAUAUCUUUUUGCCAAAAAUGUGCAUCCACAUCACUCAUUGCUUUAUCUUAAUCUAUGGGAUCGAUCUCAUGUUCCUUUAGAAUGGCAUCGAAAGACUUUCCCAAAUACAUGAAUUAGUCUGGUUGUUUAACAACCCUUCUACUAUGACAAGGCGUCGAUGUAUGAGAAAUGUGAAAGGUUGGUACUAGAUCUGUAGUAUGUUGUGUAUAGUGGGACUAUCUUCUAGUAUUCUCCAAUCUAUAUCAUUUUUUGGUUUAUUACAUAUCAUAUAGUCUUCAUAAGAAAUCUGGUAUUUAUAACAACAAACACCUUUUGAUAAUCCUGACUAUAAAGUAAUAAUCCCUGAAUUCUCUUGGAUAUCUUAUAAAGUGAUAUACCUCUUUAGAAAAAAAUGUAUUAUACAUCCUUUAAGAUUUAUCCCUAAAGAAUAUGGGAAGUAAUGAGAAAUCAAUUAUCAAUCUCACUGUCUUUUAUAGUUUAAUAUCUUCUUGUCAUUACUCCAUUUUGCAGUGGAGUCUUUGUGCACACAACUAAGAUAUCAUCUCAUGCUCCAUAUAGAAAGGAUCGAAUCUACUAGACACAUUACCUCGAUCUAAUGGAAGUGUCUUCAUAUGUUUACCCAAUAGGUUAUUUGAUUCCACCUUAAAUUCAAUGAAUUUAUCAAAGGCAUCAAAUUUCCUAUAUAUAUAUAUAUAUAUCCAAAACUAGAGUAUUUAUCAAUAAAAUGAUCAAAUACCCAUACUUUCCAUAUAUAACAAAAGAAAAAAAGGUUCAUAUAUGAGAGUAUGCACUAACUCCAAACAUUCCUUGGUUCCAAGUCCUUAAAAAAUAAAGGGGCCUCUUGGUCAUUUUACCAUCUAUAUAGGAUUCAUAGACUAAAAGAUCUUCUGGAUUAAGAAGGUCUAGACUUAAUUAGUCUUUGGAUCCUAUAUAGAUUAAUAUGACCUAGGCAUUAGAAGCCAAAUGUUUGAUUAGUGCUAGGUUCUUUCUUUUAGUGAGAUCUAACUAUUCUCAUUACAUGGAAAAAUGAUAAUAGAGUCUCACAUAAAAAAGGUAAUACUUCCCACUAGCUUGCACAAUUAACCUUGCAACUGAAGUUAAGGUAAAUAUAAUCCUAUCAUGUAACCUUCUCACUUGUUGAAAACCCUGUAAAGAACUAUAGAUAGUGGGGCUAGAAUCUAUCUACCACAAUUGGUGAAAUCCACCACUAUUUAUUUAAUAAUGAGAAUAUGAUGUGUACUUGCCUAUCCUUAGGCAUUAUGAGCAUUCAUUUUCUAGUAUCCUAAAAGGUCACAAAGGAAUCAAUGCACAUGAGUUUGUCAUCUCAUUCCUUUCUUGAACUUCCCUUAUUUGGUGUUUUUUUUAAUUUUUCUUGGUAGAAAAGCCUGAAGAACCUUGACUUCCAUAUGUACACCCUUUUACUCUUUAAGAAUCUUCUUACCCAUCCCAAAAGAAUUUGGUAAGAUCUCUAAGAUAACUUGAAUCCUGGUGUUCAUAAUAGUCUUAAGGGUAACUUGUCUAGUUGACUUGUUCUUAUCACCAAAUAACCCUUGCAACUUUAAAGAGAAUAUCAUAGACUAUGACAAUAGACAUGUGUUGCUUUUGAAACACAUUAUCUAAAGACGCAAGUAUGAUAGACUUAGUCUUUUGAUUUGUCUUAUGCCACCUUUGAUAUGUUUCUCUUACUUUAUGAUAUGUUUGUUCAAAAGAAAUAACAAACCCUACCAAAAUCAACUUCUAUGCAAUUAAUAUUAUAUCCAGAUUAUUUUCAAAAUAUAAUUAGGUCCAAUUUAAACAAAAGAUAAUAGGUGAUAGGUUAAAGACAUGAUAUCUGUAAUAAAUAUAAUAAUUCCAUGCAUUAAUAAAAAGAAACUGAGCAUUCAAGGUAAGUUGGUAAUACAUUUAGCAAAAAUGUAGUGCUCUCAAACUGCAUAUAUUCAUGCAAGGUAUCUUAGUACCAUAAGAAUCAUACCUACUUUAGGCAGGUCAUGACUCUUAUUACUAGGGAGAAAGCCUCUCUAAUUAAUCAACCUACCUUAAACCUCUAAAGGUUAUCAUAAGGCAUUGAUCAACAUACCUUUAUAUUUAGCCCUUAGAACAUGCAAGUGGGACCACUUUAGGUGAUUCUACCACUUCAUGUCUAAGUUAAGUGUGUAACCAAGAUCCUUGACAUCAAUGUUACCAAGUGAAGAGUUCCAUCUUUAGGAUUGGCCACUCCCACUACAAACAUAUAUAGCCUUGUCCAUAAAGGAUAGUCCAUAUCCCUUGAUUCCUUAGGCCACCCCAUCUUUAGGAUGGUGAUGGGCCCAAAAUCAAGAUGGGCUCGGUCUUGGAGGAUAUGGGCUUGCCUAUGACCCAUUCCCACUUAAUAUUUUCGAAGAGAGACUUUAAGAUAAUUUUGGUAACUAUCUUAAAAUAGAUUAUCUAUCAUGAGAAUUUCCAAAACUUUUAUUUAUUACUUGAAUUGGGACUCCUGUACCAAAUAGAGAUAUCUUUCAUAUUCCUUAUCCUUGAACUUUCGUUUUCAAAUUAGAUGGUUUCCUCAUUCUCUCAUGGAGGGAGAGCCUGGAGAACCAAUUUAGGUGUCAUUCUCCUUCUUUCUAGGGGAGAGAGCUUGGAGAACCACCUAACCCAAAUAAAGGAAAGUCCCAAAAGGAAUUUGAAAUUCCAAAUGACAACAACCAAUUUCUUAAAUAAAUAAUGGUGGAAAUAAAACUCAUGAAAUUUUUUUCUUUUAAGAAAAUCCAAAAUUACCAUUUUAAUUGAAACAAUAUCUUGGUAAGCUAUCUUAAUAAUGAAUUAUCUAUCAUAUAUUUUCCAAAAAUAAUUUAUUUCUUUAAAUUAGAAUCUUGUGCUAAAUAUGAAAGAUUUUAUUUCGUAAAGAUUUGGAAAAAUAAAACUUUUUCCUUAAAAUAAAAAGAUUCUUAGAGAUCUAAAAUAUAAAAAGAUUUAUUUAAAAAAAAAAAAUCUCUAAGAGUUUAAUUUUGAAAAGGAAGUAAGUUCCUUAUUUUUUUUCCAACUUGUCUUUACCUAAAAUAAAAAUGUCAUAACUCCUAGCACAUUCCAAUUUAAUAAAUUAUCUAAAAAAGAGAAAAAAAAAUGAAAAUUCAUUAACUUAAGAGUACCAAAAUAUAUUCUAUGUCAAAAAUAAAAAAGUAUAAAAGACAUGAAAGGAAAUUAAAUAAAUAAUUCUCAUGGCCUUAGGGAUCCUAUUGCAAAGGUAACUAAAACUUGGAUAAACUUCAAAUUACCAAAAUAGCCCUACAACCAAAGAUAGGGUUAGUGAAAAAAGAAAAACCCAAUGGGCCCAAUUGCCACAAAAAAGCCCAAAAAGAGGCCCAAAAAUUGAGCCCAAACAAUAAAAAACAAAUUGGCUCGAGCUCAAUCCAAUAAUUGCAUGCCCUUUGCGCAACCUUGAUUCAAUCAACCAUAUCUCUCUUGUUUCAACUCUGAAUUGCAAUCCGUUUGAAGCACUGGAUUCUUAACUUCUUGAGCUUCAAAACCAUAUGUGGUUUCUCUCAAAAAGCUCAUGGGAGGUAGCCCCUAUUUUGAGUUGAAGUCAGCAUUAUUGUACUGCCAUGCUCUUUGCACAGCCUUGCUUUAAUCAGUCAUAUCUCCCUCGUUUCAACUCCGAAUUGUGAUAUGUUUGAAGUCUUGGAUUUUUUACUUCCUAAGAUUAAAAAAUUAUGUGGUUUGCCCCAAAAAUCUCAUAGGAGGGAGUCCCGAUUUUGAGUUGAAGUCAGCGUCACUGUGCUGCCAUGCUAUUUGCGCAGCCUAGCUUCAAUAAGCUAUAACUCCCUCAUUUCAACUCCGAAUUAUGAUCCGUUUGAAGCGUUGGAUUCAUGACUUCCUAAGAUUAAAAAAGAUAGGUGGCUUGAUCCAAGAAAUUCAGAAGAAGUCAUCCUGAUUUUAAGUUAAAGAUGGCAAAACUGUGCUGCCAAGGAUCUCAAGUCAAGAACUUCCAAGAUUCUUUCUUUUCCCUUAAAUCACCAUAUAAACUCAUGAAAGAAACUUUAAGAAGCCUUAUUUUCUCUUUUCCAGCAAGGGAAUGUACACAAACACUUUGUGAUGCUUCAGAUUGCUUCCAUACUCUCCAUAGGUUACAAAGAAUGAUAAAAAAAAAUGGUUUUUUUUUUACAACAAAUCCAAAGAUUUGGAGUUUACAUAUCAUUCUAAGAUAAAAAAUGGUUUUUUACAAAAGAACAAAAAUCCUAUACCUCUUAUGAGGCUUACAACCCAUCUAGGAAAAGUAAAAACCAAUCCAAGUAAUUAUUAUAUCCCUAAUAAAAAGCAAUCACAAUUAUAACCAUCAUAUUAUAACAAGAUCAUAAUAAAGAAAACUCAUUAAUUAUCCCUAAGGCCAUGGGAUAAACAAAAACCUUGCAAAAACAAGUUAGCACACCCUAGAAUGGUUCUAGCACGAUUACUAACCUAUGGCUCUGAUACCAGUUAAGAGAAAAACUUGGAUCUCUCCGUUUCCCAAGUUCGGAUCAUGUUAGGAACAUGAAUAACUAUCCUAGGCUUUUUCUAAAUCCUAUACACAAUGGAAAAAUAACAUUUUUAUAAUUUAAAAGGAUUCAAAAAGUUCUAAUGAAAACCAUACCUCAGAUUCAGAUGUUCCCAAAUCAAAUCCACAUGGUGAAGAUGAAAAUCGAAAUCCCAGAAAUCUGAAACCUAAGUCUUCCACCCAAUGACUCGAACCUUGAUCUUGACACACUUUUGGUGGGGAGGAAAAGAGGGUGGAUGCUAUGACUUUCAAUCUCUUUGGAUGGUGGAAGACAAAAUCUAUGGAAACCCUAACCCCUAAGGGGUAUUUAUAGGGUUCCUAAGUGGGCUUAAGUGACUUGAGCCCACAUGGGCUUGGGUCACUUAAUCUAGCUCAAAAUGGGUUCUAAUUGAUUAAUUAACCUAAUAGGGCCUACUAAUUAAUCAAUUAGCUUAAUCCAAAGACCUUAUUCAUUUACCCUUAUGCAACCUUGCAUAAUUACCAAAACGCCCUUAUACAUAAAAUUGAACCUAGAGCCAAUCCGACCCUCAUAACCCAUGCCAACAAGGUAUAUGAGCUUAGAGUGGGGACCAUUGGAACCCAUAGGAAUAUUAGGUCCCUUAGAAUCCGAUUCUAAAGUCGAUUCAACAUUCCACUACAGAGAAUCAACUAAACUCCAAUAUCCUAUGUAAAUAACAACGAGACACUAAGUGCUUAGGUCCGUGACCUACUAUCCAUUGUGUUCAGUCUCCUUAUGAUUUGAUGUCCGUAGUCUACCAAGGUGAAAGCUAUCAGUCUUUCAAGACUACCUCUACCAUCCUUAAGUUACAAAUCCUCCUAUUGUGUGUUUAAUUGACAUAUUUUAGCUAUCAAAAGAGCUCAUGUCAAGUUCCACUUAAGGAACUACUAUGGCCAUAGUUUCCAUGAACACACCUCCUUAGGAUCACCCAAGGGGACACACUGUCUCAAUUUCAAGAUAUAUCAUGGUUUCUCUAUUGAGAAUACCUAUUGCUAUUGGCUUCCAUCAACGAUGACCCAAUCCAUAGGGAAUAUAUGAUCAACUUACGAUCUCACUAUAGACCCUCCAUUUUGUCCCCUUGGCACAUACCUUGAAUAAGUACUCUUUCAAUACUUUAUAGCAGUUCUUGGUAGCCUAUUGUUACUCACAUAUCUUACCCCUUGGAGUCAUUCUGGAUACUAGAUACACAUUUAUGACAAUUUUAUCUUAUUCAUGUAUUUAAUUUAAUAAUUUAGUAAAAUGCUCCUAUUUAAUCUAAAUAAUUUUAUAGAAUUCUUUUAUUUAGUUUAAUAUUUUUUUUGAAAAACUUUAUUUUAAUUUAAUACUUUUGAAAGAUACUUUUAUUUAAACUAAUACUUUUGAAAAAUGCUUCUAUUCAAUAAUUGUUGAAAAAUUCUCUUAUUUAAUUUAACAAUUUCAUAAAAUAUAUUUUUUUAAAAUUAAUAUUCUUCUGAAAUGAUUUUAUUGAGUCUAAUAAUUUUGUAAAUUAUACACAUAGGCAUACUGAUUUUUUUAUUUUUAUCUACCAAGUUUAUUUAUUUAAAAAUAAAAUAAAAAUUCAAGCGCUUUGAAAAGGAAAAUUUGGGAAAGUAUUAAGAAGUUUGGGAAUGAUGAAAAUGGGGGGUUUUUCAAAGGGUUUCUGCAUGGGGAAAAGAUAGGGGAUUUUGGAAAAAAUAGUGGAUGGGCUAUUUUUAGAGAGGGAAGUAUUCAGAAGAUGAGGAGCGGAGAGACAAGUUCUGGUAGGAAUAGCUGUAGGAAGGGGGAGUGGGGUUUGGAAGGAAGGAAAAGCUAUGGAAGAGUCUGGAGGAGUGAAGACCGAAAAAUAGAGGGAGGCUUUUUCUGAGUUUGGAGAACCUACCGAAUCAAGUGCUUGAAGCCAAGAAAUCCUUGCUCAAAGGGAGUCGUUUAGGUAGAGUCACUGCAUGCUCUGUUAUCCCAUUUUUGCAUCAUUUUGCUCUAUUUCUUGCUGAUAUUUGGGUUCGUUUCUAAUGAUUGAGUGUGAACAUUAGAAAACAUGCAUAUAUGAGAUCAUUUGCAAACACUUUCUGUUUGGUUUCUUUGUUUCUAUAGAAUCUCAAAUCACGUUUUGUUUUUUUUUUUUUUUUGUUUUGCUCUGUUUUGGUUUUCUCUAUAAAACGGCUACGACCUUGUUUUUUUAUUUAUAUUUAAAGUUCAUUUCGGUUACUCCCACCUGUUAGCAAGCUCACUAAUGACCCAUGAAAGAGAGCUUCAUUUGGUGUUUUUUGUACUUUUUUCUAUAUUUUAUCUUCAUGUUUUCUUUCCCAUUCUUUUGUCUGCCCCUGUUAUUGGUAAUUUUUAUGGCGUGCAUGAGUAUGUGCCUCAAUAGUUGAUGAUGUCAGAGUGACUUCUGGGUGGAUUUGGGAUUCCGAUUUGUAAUCUGAGACUGCAUAUUUUGAAAUAAGGAGAUUGUCGAAUGCUCUCCCUCAGUUCAAUGGUGAAAUUCGUGAUCCUGUAUCAAAUAAAAGGGUGGAAAUAUAGUUGAUGCUAUAGAUGGAGGAUAUGAGAUGGCCAUCUCUCCUCCCCUGCUAGCUAAAUCUAAGAUUGAUUCAUUUCUUUGUGGGAUUGAGUUCCACAAGGUGGUGAAAGAAAAUAAGGCACUUGUUCGUGAUGACUAGAAAGAGAACAUUCUGCCCAAUAUGGAUUCAGCUUCUUUAAAGCUCCAUACAAGCUCCUUUGGUGUUGAACAAUACUUGGCUGUAGAGAUAUAUUUUGCCCUUAUCUAUCUCCACUCCAACAAGCCUUCAAUCAUCCAUGAAAAUUGGAAACCCACCAAGGUGUCCUUUGCGAACUGGUGGCUUGGGGGUUGAUGCAUGCUUCUAGUUUUUUAUCAUAAGAGUGUUCCGAAGUAAGGUUUUCUUAGCAUGACUGCUUGUGAGUUCAUUCUAGGGCAUAAGAAAUUAGAAAGAGGAUUUAAGAGAAUGAAACUCAGUUUUGGACAAGAAGAAAAACAUGAAAUGAGCUUACCACAGUUUUCAGAUGGAUGCGGCUAAUGUGUACAGUCUCACUUAUGCUGAUCAUAAUUGAUAUGAGUGAGUUUGGUGAGGAUUCUGGUGGCUUCCAUCACCCCAUGAAAUGAAGACCCUUUGGCUUAUGGUAAACCUUAUCGAUGUUACACAAUUUAAGGAAAUGGUUUUUGAUGUAAAGUCAAAGUCAAUUUGCACACCGAAAUGGCAAAGAACCCUUUUGUUAAAAGGGGAAUAGUAGUAGAUUUAAGUGCAUAUGAUCAAAGUAAGCACUUGAGAACCAGUGGUCAAUAUUUAUUAUUUCUUCGUAUUUUGAUAUCCUAGUUUAAUUUUUCAAAAUUUCAAUUUUCAAAUUUAAUUUACAAAACUUCCAUUUUUAAAUAAUUUUUCAAAAUCCCAAUUCUCAAAUUUAAUAUUUAAAACUUCCAUUUUCGAACAAUUCUUCAAAAUUAUAAUUUUCAAAUUUAAUUAUCAAAAAUUUUGUUUUCAAAUAAUUUUUCAAAAUUCCAAUAUUUUCAAAUUUAAUUUUCAAAGCUUCCAUUUUUGAAUAAUUCUUCAAAAUUCUAAUUUUAAAAUGAAUUUUCAAAACUUUAAUCUUUGAAUAAUUUUCCAAAAUUACAAUUUCCAAAUUUAAUUUUUAAAAAAACUUCUAUUUUUAAAAAAGUUUCAAAUUUAAUUUUUAAGAAAUUCAAUUCUCAAAUAAUUCUCCAAGAUUUCCAUUUUCAAAUAAUUUUUCAAAAUUCCAAUUCUCAAAUUUAAUUUUCAAAGCUUCCAUUUUCGAAUAAUUCUUCAAAAUUCCAAUUCUCAAAUUUAAUUUUCAAAGCUUCCAUUUUCGAAUAAUUCUUCAAAAUUCCAAUUUUAAAUUUAAUUUUCAAAAUGUUAAUCUUUAAAUAAUUUUCCAAAAUUCCAAUUUCCAAAUUUAAUUUUUUAACACUUCCAUUUUCAAACAAUUUUCAAAUUUUAUUUUUAAGAAAUUCCAUUCUCAAAUAACUCUCCAAAAUUCCAAUUUUCAAAAUUUUCAUUUUCAAAUAAUUUUUCAAAAUUCUAAUUCUCAAAUUUAAUUUUCAAAGCUUCCAUUUUCGAAUAAUUCUUCAAAAUUCUAAUUUUAAAUUUAAUUUUCAAAACUUUAAUCUUUAAAUAAUUUUCCAAAAUUCCAAUUUCUAAAUUUAUUUAUUUAUUUUUUUAAACUUCCAUUUUCAAACAAUUUUUUAAUUUAAUUUUUAAGAAAUCCCAUUCUCAAAUAAUUCUUCAAAAUUUCAAUUUUUAAACAUCCAUUUUCAAAUAAUUUUUCAAAAGUGCAAUCCCCAAAUUUAAGUUUUUUUUUUAAAAAAAAUAAAAAUUCUAUUUUCAAAAAAUUUUCCAAAAUUCCAAUUUCUCAAAUUUAAUUUUCAAAACUCCCAUUUUCACAUAAUUUUUCGAAAUUUCAAUUUUCAAAUAAUUCUCAAAACUCUAGUUUUCUUUCAAAUAAUUUUAAUUCCACUCAAAUUUUCAAAUAUUUUUAAUUCUAUAACUUUUCAUCCUUUAUUAGGGUUUUAGGUAAAAUAUAUAUAUAUAUAUAUAUAUAUAUAUAUAUAUAUAUAUAUAUAUCGUUUUUAAUAAACUUGCUACCUUUCCUUUCAAGUAAACAUUUUCACAAAUUUUCUUUGAUUUUCAAAUAAUCUUUUGUUUCUCUUGAUUUUAAAUAAGCAUGAAUAUGAUUUUCAUAAUUCCAAAAUAAUGAAAUUUGUGGGAUUAAUUCAUGCAAAAAUCAAUUGGGCUUUGAUGGGGGCCCUACAUAUGAGUUUUCUCUUCUGAUUGUCAACUGUUAUACUUAAUGAAUAUUGCCUAAUCUUUGUCUUGCUCUUUGAUAUGCAUGUGAUAUAUUUUGUAUUCAUUACUAUGCACUAACUUUAUUUCAUGAUAACGCUUUAUUACCUGUUGCCAAGGCACGCUCUCACUCUCACCUUGUUUAUUUAUUCGCUAUCAUGACUUGCUUUUGAUCUAUGAUCAUUUUGGUAUCCAUUGAUUUCCUAGUUAAUUGUCAUGUUUGCUUCACCUUAUUUAGUAAAAACCUAUUUUUAGGGGCUUAGAGGGGUGCUACGGUCUUUACCGUAUCUUUCCAAUAAGUAACCUAACCCCCAUACUCAACUUUGGUUUUCCACAGACUGUUUUUUCAAAUAAGGAGUCAUACUUAGGGUUUUCUUUCUUAUUUUGUUUUCCCUUAAAAAAAAAAUAAAACAAAAAUAAGUGGCGGCUCCAAGUCUUUUUCAAGAAAAUCAUAUUUUUUACCAAAUAAAUUAAAAACGAGUCUCGCCAAUUGAGUGGGAACGCAUUGAGCGAAAUGUGGGGUCCACACUCACUCGUAGGUCAAAGUCAUUGCUAACUUUAGCACAAACUCAAUAUUCUAUCAAGGUUGAGAGACAACACAAUGAAAUAGCUUGGUGAGGUCAUGACUACUUGAUAACCUUAAGUCAUGACUCACCGUAGGUCCUGUCCAACCUGAUAGCUAAGACCAACCAUCCCUCAAAUUAGGACGUGGUGCACUACAAUCUUUAAUGGGUUGCCUAGACCCAUGAACCAGUUUUGAACAAGUCAUCUAUUUGCAAAGAGUCCAUGACUUAAAUCUUCUGUGCAACUCCUAAUAAACCUAAGUCACGUAUAAUGCAAAAGAUGUUGGAAACAAUACUCAUAAACUAUAAUACAUAGAAUGAGGAUAGAUAAAAGUGAAACUGGAACAUCAUUAAAUAAAUAAUGAAUUCCAAUUUUAUUACAACAUGUCAUGCUUUUAAGAGCUCUAUCCUAACAGAAGACCUUGUUGAAAAGAUUCUCGGGGACUUGAUAAUGAAUACAAAUCUAUUGUUAAUGCUAUUAAAGGAUGUGAGAAUUUAAUCUCCUUUGAUGAACUUCAUGAAAAAUUGAUUAAUAAGGAGCUUUUGCUAUGUGCCAAUCAAUCCACUUCUUUAGCAUUACUUGCUUCUACAAACCCGAUACACACCCACCAUAAUUUCAAAAACAACCAAUUAGGUCCUUAUCGAUUGUAGUGGGCGUCAUCCAUUUUGUCGCCCGCUUCUGUGUCCUAAUGACCCCUCUACCACCCCUUAAGGCCAUCACCUUCCUCGUGGUCCUUAUUUGGGUAAAUGUUAGGGUUGCAGAGCAUAAGGACAUAAAACUCAACAAUGUCUUCUUUAUUAGUUAUUGCCAUUAACUCUAAAUUCAAUUUCGUCUUCUUGACUACAACAACCGUGACAACCUUGUCAUCCCCAAUAACAGUAGCCUUAACCCCAAUAACAUUGGCAACCAUAGGCAAAUCUUGCCUUUACUAUUUUUUUCUGAAAACUUUAGUUGGCUUCUUAAUAGUGAGACAUCACACCAUGUCACCAUUGACUUGAAUAAUUUGUCCAUUCAUACUCUGUAUAACGAUUCUAAUGACAUUAUGAUUAGCUAUGACUCAAGUUUUCCUAUCACCCACACCAAUUCCACUUUUCCCUCUACUAUUUUUCAUACUUUUGUUUUACAAAACAUACUUUCUCCUUAACAUGCAUAUGGAUCUUAUCUCUAUCUCUCAGUUUUUUAAAUCGAAUAAUACCUUUGUUGAAUUCUUACCCUCUUCUAUUUUGUGGAGGAUCUAUGUAGGGGGGCAAUCCUUUUGUAGGGAUGGACUAAAGAUGGUGUAUAUGAGUGUUUGGUAUCCUCUAAGUCAUCUCUUUUAGUUGCGUUUUCUAGUGUCAAGACCACUUUAUCUGAGUAGCAUCAUAGAUUAGGACAUCCUUUAUCGUCUAUACUUCAGUAUCUCGUUUCUAAUUUCAAUUUAGAAUGAUCGAGUCUAUUAUCUUUAUCUUUCAAUUGUAAUGCAUGUCAAUGCAAUAAAAGCCAUAAAUUACCCUUUUCAAUUUAUACUCUUACACAUUUUUCUCUUAUCCAAAUUAUUUUCUUUAAUGCACGGACAUUACCAAUUUAUUCCAUUGAUAAUUUUAAAUAUUAUGUUGUUUUUUAGACCACUUUACUAGAUAUAUUUAGUUUUAUUCUCUUGAACAUAAAUCUUAGGUUCAUGAUGUUUUCAUAUGAUUUCAAUCAAUUAUCGAAAAAUUCUUUAAUAAAAAAAUUGUCACACUAUAUUCUAAUAAUUUGGGGGAAUAUCAAGCACUUUCAUCCUAUUUUGCAUCUUAGGGAAUCUCACAUCUCACUUCAUCCUCACAUACUUUGGAACACAAUGGGUAUUCUGAACGUCAUCAUCAUCAUAUUAUUGAAAUCGAUUUAUCUUUUCUCUCUAAUGCCUCCAUGCCUUUGUCAUAUUGGUUUUAUGCUUUUUCCACUGUAGUCUAUCUUAUUAAUUGUAUGCCAUCUCCCACACUCCAACUUUCCUCUUCCUAUCUAAAACUUUUUCAAUCCUUACCUAAUUAUUCAAAACUUUGUGUUUUUGGGUGUUUAUGUUAUCCUUGGUUACAUCCAUAUUCUUCCCAUAAACUUGUUCCUCACUCCACUUUAUGUGUUUUUCUUGGUUACUCUCUUACUCAAAUUGUUUACUUGUGUCUUAAACCUUCUUCUAAAGUUUAUACAUUUUGUCAUAUUAAAUUUGUUGAAAACAUCUUCUCUUUUUCUUUUCUCCACUCUUAUCUUCCUUGUUCCUCGAAUGUCACUCUCUCUCACUGGUUUUAACUUGCAUAUCUGUCUAAGCCCUUGCCCCUAUCAUCUUCUCACCUGUUGACACCCUCUACACCUACAACUGAAUUACGCUCCUAUGCAGAUCUUGACUCUACCAUGCUGCUCACUCUUAUUAUUCCUAGCCUAACCUAAUUGCUACCCAUAACUUCUUUACUUCUCGACCAAACCCAAAACCCACCUACUUCUAUGCCGAACCCACAACCACUCCCAUCAUCACAUCUAAGCCCAACGCCCCCUAACCCACCCAUCUUAUAAUCAAUGCCUAGCCUAACUUAACCCUAACUUCCUCACUUCCUUCCAUCAUCUCACAUUCCACCUCCUACGCCUGUUGACCCAACUACACAUGUUAUUAUUACCCAAUCAAAGAACAAUAUAUUCACAAGCCAAUUCAUAAACUUAAUCUUAACACCCAACUUGUAACCAACACUAAUCUUGAACCCACCAUAGUCACCCAAGCCAUUAAAGAUCCUAAGUGGCAUCAUGCUAUAUUAGAAUAACAUGAUGUGCUUGUUCGGAAUGGAACAUGGGAACUUGUUCUCUCAGAUCCAAUUUAGAAUUUAGUUGGUUGUGAGUAGAUUUUUCAUAUUAAAUGUUUCCCUGAUGGUUCUAUUAAUAGGUAUAAGGCAUGCUUAGUUGCCAAAAAGUUUCAUUAACAUCCUAGAGUUGAUUGUCAUUACACGUUUAGUUUAGUUGUUAAGCCUACCACCAUUUGUCUUAUUGUCAAUAUUAUGGUUACUUAUGGUUGGUCGCUUCAUCAACUUGAUGUGAACAAUGUUUUUUUUUUUUCAGGGCUAUUUUAUUAAGGAUGCAUUUAUGGCUUAGCCGCAAGGAUUCAUUGAUCAUGAUCAUCCUCAUCAUGCCUACAAAUUAUGUCGAGCUAUCUAUGGUUUCAAGCAAGCACCAUGUGCUUGGUAUCAUGAGUUGCGUCAAUUUUUUGUUACCUUUGGUUUUGUCAACUCUCAUGUAGAUUCCUCACUUUUUGUCUUCAACACCAGUGGUGCCAUGAUAUAUUUUCUUGUUUAUGUUGAUGAUGUUAUUAUUACAUGUGACAAUAAUGGGGUGUGCAAAAAUUCAUUACACUUCUUGCUCAAUGCUUAUCUAUCAAGGAUCUUGGUUUUCUCACUUAUUUUCCUAGAGUUGAAGUUACUUCCCAUCCACAUGACUUGCUUCUUUCUCAAUGUCAUUACAUUAAGGAUUUUUUUAGCUUGUACAUGCAUGAUUGAUGCAAAUCCAGUUACUACACAACUUGCUAUUACUCUAACUCUUGAUCUUUACUCCAACACUGAUCUUUUAGAUCCAUUUGAAUAUCUGACCAUAGUUGGUAGUCUGCAAUACAUGUUGCUCACAUAGCCUGACAUUGCAUAUGUGGUGAACAAACUAUCUUAAUUUAGGUACCGCCCCAUUUGUGACCAUUGGAAUAUUUUGAAGUGACUAUUAUGAUAUCUUUGUGGGACCCUUAUUGAUGGUCUUCUCCUCUAUCAACAAUCUCCUUUAUCACUCAAUGCUUUUUUCGAUGCUGAUUGGGCAGUACUAAAGAUGACUAUACUUCUGCAAGUGCUUAUCAUGUUUACUUGAGUCACAAUCCUAUUUUUUAGAGUUCAAAGAAACAAUGAACGGUUGCUGGCUCCUCAACAAAUGCCGAAUAUAGAUUGGUUGCUACUAUUAUUGCAAAACUUAGUUGGAUUUGCUUACUUCUCAUUGAACUUAGAGUUUUUUUUUGUCUAUUCCUCUUAUAAUCUACUACGACAAUGUUGGUGUUACAAAUUUUUGUGCAAAUCUAGUAUUCUAUUCUCUGAUGAAGAAUAUUGCUUUGGAUUAACACUUCAUUCAUGAACAAGUUCAGCGUGGUACUCUUCAUGUUACCUAUGUCUGAUUGGAGGACCAAUUAUCAGAUACUCUCACAAAGCCUCUUCCGCGAGCUCAUUUACUUAAUCUCAAGACCAAGAUUGGACCCUUUCCCGGAGCUCCAUUUUGGGUGGCAUAAUAAAGAAAAUAUAUUUAUCCUUAAUUUAACUAUUAGUAUUUAUCUAUUUAUUAUUAGUUUAAAUUAGAGUAAAAUAUAGAGUUUGAAUCAUAGUAGAAGUCUACUAGUAUGAAUUAGAGUAGAAGAUAUAGUUUGAAUUAUAAUAGAACUCAAUUGUAUUUGUAUAUAAAUAUUCAUCAUCAUUGAUGAGAAUGAUAUGCCUUAUUUUUCCCAUCUAUUAUUCAUUUUUAGUUUCAUUGUUGCUUAUGUGGGCUUUUGCUAUGAGUUUAGAAAGGGAUAAACGAAAACUAUGAAGGUUUUGCUAAUAUUGAUUCAUCCCAAACAUAUGAUUUUUCCAUUUCUAAUUAAUAAUAGAAAAUGUGCAAGAAUAUUGGUAGAUUAGAGAAAAAUAGAAAGAAAUAAUGUUCUCUAGAAAACCACAACUAGUUGCCUUCAAGAUAGUUUAGAUAAUACCACCUCUAUUAUCCCAUACAAGAAAUUAAAAUAAACAAAUGUACAAUUAAAAUUUUAAUUUAGUUCUAUAUUAUAAAUAAAAUUAUAUAAUUAAAUUAAUUAAGAUUUAAAAAAAAUUAAAAUUUAAAUGUUAAAAUAACAACUUUUUUUUUUUAAAAUAAUAUAUUUAUAAAUUUUAAAUUUUAAAUAGGUUAAAUGUAUUAAAAUUUUGUUUAGAGGUUAAAGGGGUUACAUUUGUAUUGGUGAGUUGGAAUGGUGGUAACCGAUUAUAAUCAUGUCAAUUCAUACACAAAUGAACUUAACCCAUUUAAUAAAUGGGUUAAAUGGGUUGUAUCAUGAUACCCAUUUCACUAUUUACACGAAAAGAUCCAUUACAAGCCCCAUCAAAUCGUGGACAUUUCAUAUAGCAAGAUUGAGUAAAUCUAAAAGCAUUAUGGUCAUUUCAUGAUCUUGAAAUCAUUUAAACAACAUAGAAACUUGAGCCAAAGAGUGCUAAAUUUAACUACAUUCACAUGGAGAUAUUGAGAGUUUUGGAACAAAAUACUACCAUUUAAAAAAAAAACAACCCCCACAAAUAGAUUGGAUUUGAAAAUAAUAUCCAAUAUAAUACCUUUUGACCAUGUGGACACCUGCUUGGUAGAAGCAGUAUUUAAAAAAAAAAACAAAAACAAAAACAUAGUUAUGAAUUAUGUCCCCCCUUCUCCACCAUUUUUUUUCUUUAACUUUUCAUUUUUCUCUUGCUUCUUGAUUUUAGGUUCCAUUUUUUUUCCUACAACCCUCACUCUUCACCCCAUAUGUAAUACACCUCUCUAUUUCAAGUCUUAUUUUCUUUUUUGAACCCUUAGGUCCUAUUUUCUUUUUUGCAACCCUCAGGUCCCAUUUUCUUUUUUUACAAUCCUCACCCCUAGCCCAUACUUAUUGGCAAUGACAAUGAUGUAGUUGGAUGUGAGAAUGUGAGGGUUUCAUUGUUUCUUAUGUGGGCUUUUGUGGUAGUUUGGACCAUAACUCUUCAACUUUACCUAUUUCUUUUUUUGAAAACCUAACCCUUAACCCCAUACUCACUGGCAAUGGCAAUGGUGCAAUUGGUUGUGAGAAUGUGAGGGUUUCAUUGUUGUUUUUAUGGGCUUUUGUGUUAGUUUGGAGCUUUGUACACUACAAGGAAAAAGGUAUAUGGUGACAUUUAUAAUGAGUCACCAUAAACAUAAGGUGUCACUACAACAUAGCGUCACCUUCUCCACUAACACCAUAGAGGGUACCAAUUGGUGACGUAUUUGGAAGUGACACCAAAGUAGAUAAAUGGUGACCCAUUCAGAAGUGACACCAUAUAUUUCUAGUGAUGAUAGGGUGUCACAUUAAAUACAUCAUCUUUGAGUUAUGAUGUCACAUUAAAUGCAUCACCUUUGAGUUAUGGUAUCACAUCAUUGUAAAUUAUUGUGGAAUAUAUGAUUGGUUUUAGUUGUUGAUUUUUGUAAUGCUUAUGAAUUAAUAAGAUUAGCCUGUUUAUAUUUUGUCUAUAAAUAUAACAAUCAUAUUAUAUUUAACUCAUUUUUCUGUAAUGUUUCUGGAAUAACUCAUAAUACAUUGAUCAUCUAAUAAUAUUUGUAUAUCAAAUGUUCAUAAAAGGAUAGUACGUCCAACAUAUCAAACCCAUCAAAACUAAAAAAGAAGAGUGAAUACAUACCCAAACAUGAUUUAGAAAUGUUAAAGAUCCCAAGAUUCAUGUNNNNNNNNNNNNNNNNNNNNNNNNNNNNNNNNNNNNNNNNNNNNNNNNNNNNNNNNNNNNNNNNNNNNNNNNNNNNNNNNNNNNNNNNNNNNNNNNNNNNAAGGAUAGUACGUCCAACAUAUCAAACCCAUCAAAACUAGAAAGAAGAGUGAAUACAUACCAAAACAUGAUUUAGAAAUGUUAAAGAUCCCAAGAUUCAUGUAUACCUCCAUUUCAUAAGCAUAAAACCGGCUAACCAUAAAAUGACAUAGAAGUCCCAUCUAAAAAUCUAAAUUUCUCAGUUGCAAUUAAAGUAAUGUUUAUGUCUUACAACGUAUGACAUAAGAGUUGCAUUUAAAAACCCAAAAUCUUGUUGCCUUCUUCUUUUUUUUUAUUCUCCAUUUCACCCUCCCAAGAGUGUAUACCUGCAUUUCAAAAUUUAAUGAGUUUUAGAGAUUUUUAUUGAAGAAAAUAAACAUGGAUCUAUGUUAUCAUAAAUGAACAAAUCUAAGAAUUAUUUUUUUUUUUCAAAUAGAAACAUUAUUCAAAGAAUAAGCAUUACUAUACAAUACCUAUGGAAAAAUUCAUGUAGUAGCUAAGGGACUCACCAUGCAUGGUGAUCAUGAUGCAUCAACAUGAUUCAUGAUUAGUUGUAGCACAAAAGUAGCUCAUUCUCCUCUAAUUUCAUCGAAUUCUACUUGAGAAUAUGUUUUUUUUUUUAUUACCAAACUGAAAUCAAAUAAGAAAAUAACAUUAAAAUGCAUAACAUUUGGAAGCCUAAAACUAUGUACAAUUCAUUAAAUAAGCAAUACCUUUGAAGCAAUAAUUGUAGGAUAAAAAAUUAUCUCUUUAAUGAAUCUCAUAACAAAGUAGCCACAUUCGAACCCUCCUUCUUGUCUUGGACACUAAUCGAUCAAUUAUAAAAUAACAUUAGUACUCACAUAUAUAAAUGGUGCAAAUGCAUAAGCUAAUGUGUAAAGAAAAAUUUUUGGAUGUCACCUGCACUAGUUGCUAAGAUGGCUCCCUCUUAGAUGUUUUCUUGCAGAUAUUCGAAGAGCCCUAUGUAAAUAAGUUCAAUGGGUACAUUUUUAAAAUAGGUAAAUGUUAUAUGUUUUAAUAUAUAUAAAUAAUAAAAAAAAUGUGUUUGAGGUGAAUGUAUUUUUUUUUAUUUAAAAAUAAUACUAUGAAAAAUAAUAGGAAGAACUUACAUGUUUACGAUAUCCUUUAAGUCCUCACAUGGUUUGUGAUGCAUAGGGUCAAGAUAGUGGACUAUCAUUUUCCUUGGCUCAAGCACUACCUAAAUAUAAACCCUUUAACCUCAUAUCUAUUUCUAUUAACAAAAUAUAAAAACUUUCCAAAACUCAACUACUUAAAUAUAAAAACAAAAUCAAAUAAAAUAUCUAGCUAAUUGGAUUUUAUAAACUAAAUAAACUAUAAAUAAACUAAAUAUAAAAACUAAAUAAAAUAUCUAUGCCCAUGAAUUAAUUGAAGAUGAUAGAAAGACACAAAGAGAACAUGGCUAUGGUUAUGAUUUCCAUCUUAUCAUCUCCCGUCAAUACCACACAUGCCCAUUUUAAGGUUGGACACUACUUUUGUUGCUGGACUUGGAAAGGGAACUUCAAAAUUGAAAACAUAAAUAAACCCUUAUGUAAAAAAAAUAACAUUAAAAUAUAAUUGAACAUUAAAAUAUUUACUCUCUUUCAUCACUUUCAUUUGAAUAUUAAUAAUCUCUUAUUGAGAUAGAUACUUACAAUUUAACAAAAUAGAAAUUCCUAAUAAUAAAAAAUAUAAAAAUUUCUAUUUCUAUUAACAAAAUAUAAAAACUUUCCAAAACUCAAAUACUUAAAUAUAAAAACAAAAUCAAAUAAAAUAUCUAACUAAAUUGGAUUUUAGAAACUUAAUAAACUAUAAAUAAACUAAAUAUAAAAACUAAUAAAUUUCUAUGCCCAUGAUUUAAUUGAGAGGAUAGAAGACACAGAGAGAGAAUGGGUUAUGGGUUAUGAUUUNNNNNNNNNNNNNNNNNNNNNNNNNNNNNNNNNNNNNNNNNNNNNNNNNNNNNNNNNNNNNNNNNNNNNNNNNNNNNNNNNNNNNNNNNNNNNNNNNNNNAGUGACACCAAAGUAGAUAAAUGGUGACCCAUUCAGAAGUGACACCAUAUAUUUCUAGUGAUGAUAGGGUGUCACAUUAAAUACAUCAUCUUUGAGUUAUGAUGUCACAUUAAAUGCAUCACCUUUGAGUUAUGGUAUCACAUCAUUGUAAAUUAUUGUGGAAUAUAUGAUUGGUUUUAGUUGUUGAUUUUUGUAAUGCUUAUGAAUUAAUAAGAUUAGCCUGUUUAUAUUUUGUCUAUAAAUAUAACAAUCAUAUUAUAUUUAACUCAUUUUUCUGUAAUGUUUCUGGAAUAACUCAUAAUACAUUGAUCAUCUAAUAAUAUUUGUAUAUCAAAUGUUCAUAAAAGGAUAGUACGUCCAACAUAUCAAACCCAUCAAAACUAAAAAAGAAGAGUGAAUACAUACCAAAACAUGAUUUAGAAAUGUUAAAGAUCCCAAGAUUCAUGUAUACCUCCAUUUCAUAAGCAUAAAACCGGCUAACCAUAAAAUGACAUAGAAGUCCCAUCUAAAAAUCUAAAUUUCUCAGUUGCAAUUAAAGUAAUGUUUAUGUCCUACAACGUAUGACAUAAGAGUUGCAUUUAAAAACCCAAAAUCUUGUUGCCUUCUUCUUUCUUUUUAUUCUCCAUUUCACCCUCCCAAGAGUGUAUACCUGCAUUUCAAAAUUUAAUGAGUUUUAGAGAUUUUUAUUGAAGAAAAUAAACAUGGAUCUAUGUUAUCAUAAAUGAACAAAUCUAAGAAUUAUUUUUUUUUUUCAAAUAGAAACAUUAUUCAAAGAAUAAGCAUUACUAUACAAUACCUAUGGAAAAAUUCAUGUAGUAGCUAAGGGACUCACCAUGCAUGGUGAUCAUGAUGCAUCAACAUGAUUCAUGAUUAGUUGUAGCACAAAAGUAGCUCAUUCUCCUCUAAUUUCAUCGAAUUCUACUUGAGAAUAUGUUUUUUUUUUUAUUACCAAACUGAAAUCAAAUAAGAAAAUAACAUUAAAAUGCAUAACAUUUGGAAGCCUAAAACUAUGUACAAUUCAUUAAAUAAGCAAUACCUUUGAAGCAAUAAUUGUAGGAUAAAAAAUUAUCUCUUUAAUGAAUCUCAUAACAAAGUAGCCACAUUCGAACCCUCCUUCUUGUCUUGGACACUAAUCGAUCAAUUAUAAAAUAACAUUAGUACUCACAUAUAUAAAUGGUGCAAAUGCAUAAGCUAAUGUGUAAAGAAAAAUUUUUGGAUGUCACCUGCACUAGUUGCUAAGAUGGCUCCCUCUUAGAUGUUUUCUUGCAGAUAUUCGAAGAGCCCUAUGUAAAUAAGUUCAAUGGGUACAUUUUUAAAAUAGGUAAAUGUUAUAUGUUUUAAUAUAUAUAAAUAAUAAAAAAAAUGUGUUUGAGGUGAAUGUAUUUUUUUUUAUUUAAAAAUAAUACUAUGAAAAAUAAUAGGAAGAACUUACAUGUUUACGAUAUCCUUUAAGUCCUCACAUGGUUUGUGAUGCAUAGGGUCAAGAUAGUGGACUAUCAUUUUCCUUGGCUCAAGCACUACCUAAAUAUAAACCCUUUAAGUCCUCAUAUCUAUUUCUAUUAACAAAAUAUAAAAACUUUCCAAAACUCAACUACUUAAAUAUAAAAACAAAAUCAAAUAAAAUAUCUAGCUAAUUGGAUUUUAUAAACUAAAUAAACUAUAAAUAAACUAAAUAUAAAAACUAAAUAAAAUAUCUAUGCCCAUGAAUUAAUUGAAGAUGAUAGAAAGACACAAAGAGAACAUGGCUAUGGUUAUGAUUUCCAUCUUAUCAUCUCCCGUCAAUACCACACAUGCCCAUUUUAAGGUUGGACACUACUUUUGUUGCUGGACUUGGAAAGGGAACUUCAAAAUUGAAAACAUAAAUAAACCCUUAUGUAAAAAAAAUAACAUUAAAAUAUAAUUGAACAUUAAAAUAUUUACUCUCUUUCAUCACUUUCAUUUGAAUAUUAAUAAUCUCUUAUUGAGAUAGAUACUUACAAUUUAACAAAAUAGAAAUUCCUAAUAAUAAAAAAUAUAAAAAUUUCUAUUUCUAUUAACAAAAUAUAAAAACUUUCCAAAACUCAAAUACUUAAAUAUAAAAACAAAAUCAAAUAAAAUAUCUAACUAAUUGGAUUUUAGAAACUUAAUAAACUAUAAAUAAACUAAAUAUAAAAACUAAAUAAAAUUUCUAUGCCCAUGAAUUAAUUGAAGAGGAUAGAAAGACACAGAGAGAGAAUGGGUAUGGUUAUGAUUUCCAUCUUAUCAUCUCCCGUCAAUACCACAAAUGCCUUCUCGGAUUGGUCCUUUUAGGGUUGGAUACUCUCAACGAAAUUCUAUAUCUCAUUCCCACUUAGAUACAAACAGAAAAAUCAUUCUUUUUUUUUCCUCUCUCGUUUUUUAGAAAGGAUGAAGAUUAUGUGAUAGUAUAUCUUAAAAAAAUUCUGUACCUGUCAUUCUCACACAAAUACAUAUUAAAAAUCAUUCAUUUUUUCCUGUUUUUCACUUUUUUUUAAAGACUUGAUCAUGUGUUUGGUUUAGAUUAAAAAAAUCAAUUAAUCUAUAGUUUUUUCUUCCAUGCUAGAAGAUUAAACCUAAAUUUUUCUUCCCUACAACUCAAGAAAACACAAUUCACAAAAACCAUAAUACAAAGAUGUUGAAACAAUUAACAUAAUGGCAUUAAUAAAAGAAAAAAAAAUGAUAGAUCCAAGAGAUUUUGGGUUACCUGGGAGUCCACAAAGUGAAGAAUGUCGGUUUUGAGCGUGUUGACUAUGGAUGGGUGAGAGAAAAGGUUGAAGAAGAUCAUGAUUUUAUAUAUAGGAUUUAUAUAUUGAGAUUUUUUGGAUUGUGGGUGAGAUAUGGAAACAAUGGGAUUUUUAUAUAGUAUCCAUCAUUAUUAAUUCUAAAAGUGGGCUCAUUAAGUUAUAAUACUUAAAAAAAUUUAUUUUAUAUGAUGUCACUUCCCAAAAAAUGACACUAUAAAUAUAAAAUUAAUAUCAUCUAACUACCUCAAUUGAAGAUUUUUAUAUGAUGUGUCACCUUUAUUAAUUAUAAACCCUAUGGUGUCAUUAUUUUAAAAGUGACACCGUAAAUAGUGACACCAUAAACUAUUUUUGUAGUAGUGGUAUCAGUAGGUAAGUCAUCUUUCAAUGACCAUAUGAUCUUAGAUAAGGAUGGACAUGAACCAAGUACUAAACAUAAGAAGGCAUGUUCCUAGAUAAAAUUCAUCUGAUGAAGAAUAUGCUUAAAAAAUCUGAAGGUCUCGUAUACCUAAGAUCUUCUACCUGAUGACUUGAAUCAUGAACUUGACACUCCAAAGUGUGGGCAAUGGAAGGGAGGAAACUUUGGCUCUCUCUCUCUCUUUUUAGAGGUUGAAGGCGACUAACUAAAAGUCAUUAGGAAACCUUAACUCAUAAAAGGGGUAUUUAUAAAGUUGCCCAUUGAGCUUAAGUGAUAGGAGGCCAUCAAGGCCUGAGUCACUUAAUCUAGCCCAAAAUGGGUCCUAAUUGAUUAAUUAACUACAUAAGGUCAUCUAAUUAAUCAAUUACUCCAAUCUAGAGACUUUGUUCAUUAUUCCUUGUACAACCUUACAAAAUUACCAAAACACCCUUAUGAAUAAGAAUGGACUUAGAGCCAAUCCAACCCUCAUAUAUCAUGUCAUCAUGGUAUAUGAGCUCAGAGCGAGGACCACUGACACCCAUAGGAGUCCUUAGAAUCUAAUUCUGAAGUUGAUUCAACAUUUCACUAAAGAGAAUCCAUUGCACUCUAGUACCCUAUGUAAAUAACAAUGAGACGAAGUUUGGGUCCAUGACUUAUUAUCCACUGCAUGUAGACUCCCCAUAAACUAGUGUCCAUAAUCUAACAAGGUAGUGCUAUUACCUAUCAAGAUUACCUCUCAGAUCCUUGAGUUAUAGAUCCCACUUAUUAUGUGAUCAACUAACAUACUUUAGCUCCAAGGAGCAUAUGUCAAAUUCCAGUAAAGGAAUUGCUAUGGUAAUAGAUUUUAUGAUCACAAGUCUUUUAGAUCACCUAAGGAGACACUGUCUCAAUCCCUUGAGAUAUCUUGGUGCCUUUAUUGAGAAUCUCUAUUGCCACCAACCUCCAUCAACAGUGACCCAAUCUAUAGGGAUAUAUGACCACCUUAGGGUCUCACCUAUAAGUUAAAGCCUUUUGUUGAUUUUGGCACAAACUCAAUAUCCUUUUAAGGUUAAGAGUUCAUGCAGUAUAGUAGCUUGGUGAAUCAUGACAAUUGAUAGCCUUGCGUCAUGAUCCACUAUAGGUCAUGUCCAGUGUGCAUCACAUACAUUAGUGUACUCACCAUAAGAAACCCAUCUUGACUACCAAGAUAAGUCAUUCCCCCAAUUAGGAGAUGAUGCACUACAGUCUCUACUAGAUUGCCCAAAUCAUGAAUCGAUUGUGGACAACUUAUCCACUUACAAGGAACCCAUGACUUGUAUCUUCUAUGUAACUCCUAAUGCACACAAGCCAUACACAAUGUAAGAGAUAUGAGUUGAAUGCUCAAAUGAAUUCAAUACACCACAAGGAUAGACAUGAGAUAGUUUAGUCUAACUUUGUUACAUCAUGUCAUUCUUUUAGGGACUCAAUCCCAACAAACUCCCACUAGCACAAAAAAUAGACUCGGUAUCGUAGAAACAAUUUGCUCCACAACCAUAUCACCUCUCUAUUCUAUCUCAUAAUAAGGUAGGACUCCCUCUUCUAGUGGUACUUCAGCUCUUUAGACUAUGUCAUCGUCUUACUGUUAUUACGUAACAGGAUCUUAGACGAUAUAGCCAAGAGAACUACCCAUAGGGUAAAAGGCUUCCUUUGUUGCUAUAGAAGUAACAAAAACCACUUAGAGUGUACACAAACCCAAAUGUAAACCUGUGAUAGUCCUUAUCAGAUUGAAAUUCCAAUUUCCCGAUACAAAGGGAGUACCAAAUCAUCGUAAAGACCCACAGUCAUAUAAUCCUUCAUUCUCUAAAGAUACUUGAGUAUAUGUUUGACAUCCGCCCAAAGCUUUAAUUAGGAACUGGACGAAUAUCCACUCAUUAUUCCUACAACAAAGCAAAUAUCUAGUCUAGCACAUAGCAUCGCAUACUUAAGGCUAUUCAUUGUAGAGACAUAAGAUAUCGCUUUAAUGCGAUCUUUCUCCACAGAUGUCUAAGGACAUUGAUAUUGAGAAAUGCAACUCCAAACCCAAAGAAUAAAAAACCCUUCUUGGAGUUUCACAUCAUGUACUUGAUUAAAUGCUCAUCAGUGUAUGUGACAGGACACAAUUUCCUAUUCUUGCAAUCUUAAAAUACCUUAACCCCAAGAAUAUAUUGUGCCUUAAGAUUUUUAUCUAGAACUAAGUAAGCAACUAGAUCUUGACUGAUUGCAAUAUCCUUACAUCACAUCUAAUGAGUAGAUUAUCAUCUACCUACAAGAUCUUAAAGCAUCACCAUGCUUCCCUAUGCCUUUUUGUAAUGACAAGGCCCUUUUCUAUAAAAAUGUUUGGUUGCUAUAUUGCAUAAAUGAGACACGUUGCAAUAGAUAGGAGUAAUUUGAUGGAUUUGAGUAUGACCACUAUUGAAAAGUUUUUUCAUAGUUGAAACAAUGUUUCAAACUAUAACCUUUAGCUACAGUCUUAGCCACAUAAAACUCAAGCUUUCCAUCUACUCAUGUGUUCCUCAUUUAGACCAACUUACACUUUGAUUACUACUCAAAACAUGCUAUUUUGUAGCUUGUAAUUAGCUCUUUUAAACACCAUUGAGUAGUAACUAUUACCUUUUAACCCAAUUAGCAUGUUAGGAGCCCUUGAAAUCGUUUCUAACAAUUGUGUUAAGUUUUGGUGCUUUUUGAUAGCUUUAUGCCCACCAAAGCAAUUUAAGAAUGAGGGAGAGCUAUUUAUAGUUCAUGGCAAAGCUUUUGGAAGCUUUUAUUUUUGAAGAAAUCAAGCUAUGGAGCCUCAUAAUCCUUUGCCUUAAUCGUUCAAAGUUUACAAGGGAGAAACAAUGGAGAAGAAGAAAACAGGGGAUGAAAACAGGGGACACAGCUUCAGUCUUUUAGUGCACUUUUGGAGCACUUUCCGAAGUCCAUUUUUUACGUUCUACAUACCAUUUCAAAGCUCAGAAAGUCAAGAAUCCAAAGGUUCAAACCAUGUACGAUUUGGAGCUGAAAUGAGAAAGAUAUGGCCUUCGGAAGACAACUGCAUCAAGCUGAGGGACAAUUUCGCACACCACUGUGCAAGGUGCGAAUUCCUCAGUCCACUGUGCGAGAAUUUCGCACACCUCAAAUCAAGGUGCGAAAUGGGAACUCCAGCGUGCGAAAAUUGGAUAUUUUUGCCGACUCUUUUUCUUCUGAUAUUUUUGUGUCUAAAUUUCCAUUUUCUCCUUGUAUUCAACCACUCAUGUAAUUCCUUAGCUAGGAAGUAUCCAAGGAAGGGUAAAAUUACCUUCUUAUAUAAAUUCUCUUGUAAUCACUGAAAAUGUAUCUUCGUCGGGGAGCUUUCUCCAGGAGACCAACUUAUGUAACUUUGUUAUACAGAGAUCUCUUUUGUUUAUUUUCUCUCUUCUAUUUUCUAUUUUCUUGCAAGCCAAACACCCUCUGAGGAUGUUUUCCCAGAGGAUGAGAGGCUAAACAAUAGUUUCUUGGAUUAAAGGAAGCUAGGUGAAAAGUCCAGAUUAAAAGGUGGAAAAUUUCCGUGCAUUAAAUUCAGGUAGUUGGAGUCCAUAAAUGGUUUUUAAAGCCAAGGUUUUGCCUUAAAUCCCUUCGAAUCACUUUGACUGGCCAAUACAUGGUAAGCUUAAGGUCUCUGUGGAUGCUUAUUGCUAGAUCCAUAUCAGUCCAUUAGUUAUCAUAUACGAGCCAUUGGAAAGUGAUUCAAGGUGAUAGUCCAUAGUGUCUUAAGCCAUUAAUGGACCUUGACUACCAUCUCUAGUGACUUUUUAUGGAUUAAAACUUCAUUGUCAAACCUAUACCGGUUCGGGAAAUAACUAUAGGUUAAAUCCCCAAUGCGAGGAGAAAAAUCCGGAAUUUUCCACUUUGCAUCUGGUACUUGAACCUAGCAACCUUUAGCUCCGGGAGACUUUCUUUCUUCCACUUUUUACUUAGUUCUAUGUGAGUUUAGUUUAAAUCACCACUUUCAAAACAAUUUUAUUUUCUUUUAAACUCUAAGUUUUUGAUAAAGGAAAUCAUUAAAUUCAAUUCAUAAUCAUGAGUAUAUCACUGGUAGAGUGAAAACCCAUCCCUGAGUUCGACCCUAGAACUGCUAUACUAUAGUAGCUUUGCUACGCCAGUAUAAGGUCAUAGGUUUUAUAAAUGUUUUUGAUUAAAAGACCUGGCUGGGAAGUCAAAAGCGAAUCACACUUAUAGGUUUUAUUCCUUUAGGUGCUUCUAUAGGAACUUAAACUAUGUUAGAAUACAAAGAUUCUAACUACCUUUUCAUAGUUCAUUAUCUUAAGUGUGCACAGAUACUACUCACUGCUUCAUCAUCAUAUAUGGAAUAUAAACCUCCCACUAUAAUGAGGUAUUGAUGUACGAGUAAUCAUAGGAAUGAUAUGUUUCUUACCUUCUGGAUCCAUUGUAUCUUGUGCAAAAAAGAGGCUAUCUUCUAAUAUUUCCUCCAAUUUAUAUCAUUCUUUGUUUAAUUCCUUAUCAUAUAGUAUUCAUAAGCAGCCUGACAUUUAUAUCAACAAACACUUUUUGAGGAUCCUGAAUAUAAAGGUAAUAACCCUUGAAAUCCUUUUGGAUAUCUCAUAAACUGAUAUACAUAUUAAGAAAAAGAGGUAUUGCAUGUUCUAUAAGACAUAUCUCCAAAAGAAUCUGGGAAAAGAUGAGAAACCUAUCCAUAAUCUCACUAUGUCCAUCCAAGUUUGAUAUAUUCUUUCUACCUCUCCAUUUUGCAAUGGAGACCCUAAUUGGGAAAUAAUCUCAUGCUCCAACGGAAAGAAUCAAACUAAUUAGACAUAUCACCUUAAUAUAAUCAAAGUGACUUGGUAUGUACCCAAUAGGUUAUCCGAUCCUACCUUAAAUUCAAUGAAUGUAUCCAAGGCAUCAGAUUUCCUAUGUACAUAUCCAAACCUAGAGUAAUCAUUACUAAAAGUGACAAAAUACCCAUACCCUCCCCAUAUAUAGAUACUAAAAGUUCCAACAUGUCAAUAUGCACUAACUCCAAACAUUUUUUGGCCCUAGUCUUCUUGGUCAUUUUACCAUUUAUACAAUAUUCGUUGACUGGAAGAUUUUUUAGAAUCAAAGAGUCCAGACUUUACCGGUAUUUGGAUCCUAUUUAAAUUAAUAUGACCUAGGUCUAGAUACCAAAUAUUUAAUUAGUGCUAGGUUCAAUCUUGAUAUCUGACUAUAUAUUUUUAUCACUUGGCAACGUGAUAAUGGAAUACAUAUACAAGAAGAAGAUAUUACCUCCCACUAUCCGACAAAACUAACCUUGCAUUUGAAGUUAAGGUAAAUAUAAUCCCAUCAUUUAACCUUCUCACUUGUUGAAUAUCCUAUAAGGACUUAUAAACAUUAGGCUUGGAAUCUAUCCACCAUAAAUGGUGAAAUCCACCACUAAAUAUUCAACAACGAGAAAAUGAUGUAUACUUUCCUUUUUUCUUUAAGUAAACUAGUCAUUCCUUUUCUAGUGUUCUAAAAGGUCACAAAGGAAUCACUUGCCCCUGAGCUUGCUCUCUUAUUGAUUAUCUUGAACUUUCCUUAUUUGGUGUUCUUGUUUUUCUUCUUGGUAGAAGAACCUUUGACUUCCAUAUGAACACCCUAUAAUCUUUGAGAAUCCCCUUAGCCACCUUGAAGGAAUAUGAUAAGGUCUCUAAGAUCAUAUGAAUAUUGGUGUUCAUAAAAGUCUUAAGAGUAGCUUGUCAAAGCUGACCUAUCCUUAUCACCAAAUAAUCAUUACAAACUAGAAAGAGAAUAUCAAAGUCUCUAGUAAUAGACAUGUGUUUCUAUUGCAACACAUUAUCCAAAUAUCCAAGUAUUAGAUACUUGGUCUUCUAAUCUAUCCAAUACCGCCUUGAUAUACCACUUUUUCCUUUUUCUAUGUUAGUUCAUAAGGAAUAGCUAGCUCUACCUAAACUAGCUUUUAUGAAAUUAGUUACUAUAUCUAGAAUAAAAUUACUCUAAUUGAUUAGUUAGGCUUGGUCUAUUGUGAGAAAGAGAGUGAUAAUAAAACCAACAUCAUAUCUAUGUCAAAGAAUAUAACCAAGCAUAUGACAUAAUUGAACAUUCAAGGCAAUUGGUAAUUAAGUUAGCAAAAAUGUAGUGCUCUCAAACUACAUGUCCUUUUGCAAGACAUUCUAGUAUCAUAAGAAUCAAGCCUAUAGUGGGCAGUUCAUUACCUUAUUACUAGUUAGAGAUCCUCUCAGAUUGAUCUCCCUGUUAGGAACCCUGGAUUACUUCAUUCCCAUGUCCUGGAUCUCAUAAGGUGCAUGAAUAUAUCCUUAGGGCUCUCUAGAUCUAACACAACAGACAAUAAAGGCUUCAAAAACCACUAUAAAAUAAAGAUUUAGAGAAAAAAUGCUCAUACUUGGAUCUGGAUGUUCUUAGAUCAAUUCCUUGUGGUGAAGAACAUCUUAGAAAAACUAAAUAAUCGCUCUUCAUGUUGCUAGCAACAUGCAUGUCCUAUGCAAUUCUCAUGCACAUUGCAUGCAAUUCCCAUGCAUGUGGCCUAUGUGCAUCCCGUGCAGUUCUCAUGCGUGCAUUUUGUGUGAUUCUAGUGCGCUCUCAUACACCCAAGAUCUUCUGUAGGAUGACUCUUCCUCUUGUCUAGGCACUGAGAUGAUGGAGAUCUCAAAGGUGGAGGCUAAGGUUUUCUCUUUGGACUAAAAAAGAAGAAUGAUAAGACAUAGAAACUCUAACCUCUAAAGGGGUAUUUAUAGGCUUCCUACUUAGCUUAAGUGACUUAAGCCUAUCAUGGGCUUAGGUGACUUAAGCCUACCAUGGGCUUAGGUCACUUAAUCUAACCUAAAAAGGUUGCUAAUUGAUUAAUUAACCAUAUGAGGCCCUAAUUAGUCAAUUAACCCAGUCUAGACAUACCACUCACUUAUCCUUAUGUAACAUUAUGUAAUUACCAAAAUGCACUUAUGAACAAAAGUGAACUAAAAAACCCAUUCAACCCUCAUAAACCAUGCCAUAAAGGAAUAUAAGCUAAAAGCGGGGACCAUUAGGACUCAUAGGAGUACUAGCUGUCUCAGAAUCAAAUUCUGAAAUUGACUCAACAUCUCACUAUGGAGAGUCAAUUGUACUCCAAUACCUUAUGUAUAUUACAACGAGACACCAAGGGAUAAGGUUUGUGAUCUACUAUCCAUUGCAUGUAGACUCCUAAUGAACUGGUGUUUGAAAUCUAACAAGGUAGUGUUAUCACUUAUCAAGAUUACCUUUUAAAUCCUUGAGUUACAGAUCCCACUUAUUAUGUGAUCAACUGACAUACUGUAGCUCCAAGGAGCAUAUGUCAAAUUCCACUAAAGGAAUUACUAUGGCCAUAGAUUUCACGAUCACAUGUCCUUUGGAUCACCCAAGGGGACACGCUGUCUUAAUCCCAUGAGAUAUCAUGGUGCCUAUAUUGAGAAUACCUGUUGCCACUAGCCUCCAUCAACAGUGACCCAAUCCAUAGGAAUAUAUGACUACUUUAGGGUCUCACUCAUAGAUCAAAGCCUUCUGUUGAUUUUGGAAUUGACUCAAUAUCCUCUCAAGGUAUAGAGUCCAUGCAGUAUGGUAGCUUGGUGAAUCAUGAAAAUUGAUAGCCUUGUAUCAUGAUUCAUCAUAGGUUCUAUCCAGUUUGCAUCACAUACGUUGGUGUACUCACCAUGGGAAAUCCAUCUCGACAGCCAAGACAACCUAUCCUUCUAAAUAAGAGGUGGUGCACUACAGUCUCUAUUAGAUUGCCCAAAUUCAUGAACCAACUGUGGACAAUUUAUUUACUUACAAGGAACCCAUGACUUGUAUCUUUUGUGCAACUCCUAAUGCACCUAAGUCAUGUACAAUAUAAAAGACAUGGACUAAAUGCUCAAAUAAAUGUCAAUACACCAAAGGGAUAAAUAAGGGGAUAGUUAAGUCUAACUUUGUUACAUCAUGUCUUACUUUUAGGGGCUCAAUCCCAACACUCCCUUCCUUAACCAUGAAAGAUUUAUAAAAACAAGAUCAACAUACCUUUUAUUUGGCCCAAGGACUAUGCAAGUGGUGUUACGAUGGGCGAUUCGACCAUUUCAUAUCCAAUGAUAAGUGUAUAAACAUUGUCCUUGAACUACCAAUGUCACCAAGUAAGGAACCCCACCAGUAGGGUGGUUGUUCCACUAUUGACAUGUCUAGUUUCGUCUUAAUGGAGAGACCAUAUCCCUUGAUUCUUAGGGCCCAACCUGCCAAUGAAGUGGUGAUGAACCUAAAUCAAGAUGGGCUUGACAAUGGAGGUCGUGGGCUUGAAAAUGGAGGUCGUGGGUUUGCCUAAAGCCCUUUCCUACUUAAUCUUUUGAGAUAAAUAAGAGCAUUUUACAAUCAUUAGUAAUUUCCUUGAUAACAAAAUUAUUAUUUCACAAACAUUUAUUUCCUAAUUGGAUACCUAGUGUAAUAGGAGAAUAUGAACAUGAAAAAUUUAAAAUUUCCAUGAGAGUAAUUUCAAAAAGAAUUUUGAUAAAAUAUCCACUCUCAAAAUUUUAAAACCUAAUUUUAGAAAAUUCUCCCUUUAUACACAAUUCCAAUUAAUAAAUAUUUUAUUAAGGAAAUGUUUUAAAGAAAUUUAUUUCUAUUAAAUUACUAAGCCUUUUGGUAAUAAUCUUUUAAGGGUAAAUUAUCUCUAAUGAAUAUUUCCAAAAUAUUUAUUUUCCGAAUUGGAAACUUUAGUGUAAUAAGGUUUUGAAAAUCUUGAGUGCAUUUUAUUCAAUAAUGGAACUUUUACUUUUCAUAUUCAAAAUUCCUUCUAAAUUUACUUUCCUUAUCCCUACACCUUUCCCACUUAAUAAAUAUUUCUAUGGAAACUUCAUAAUAAUUUAUCCCAUUAAAUACUACCAAAAACAAAACCUUUUAAUAAUUCCUUAAUGAAUAAAAUAUUCUCUAUGAAAAAACUCCCAAAAAUGUUUAUUUCCUUAAAAAGAAAUUAAACAAUUCAUUUUGGAAAGUAUUUUAAAAAUAUUUUAUAUCUCCAUUAAAUUACUAAAAUUUUCCAAAAAUAUUUUGACAAUCUUUCUUAUCAUAAAUUCUCUAUCAUGAGAUUUUUCAAAUACAUCAUUUAUAUUUUAAAUCGAGACUCCUAUGCUAAAAGAAUUGCCCUUUAUUCCUUAUCCUUGAACUAUCCAUAUCCUAAUAGAACGGUUUUCUCCUCGAGAGGGAAGGGAGCCUGAAGAACCAUCUAUCCCAAAACCAAGAGGACAAUUCCAAAAAGAAUAUUAUUCUUAUUAGCAAUAACUAGUUUAAAUAAAUAAUCUUAGAAAAAUCUUCUCAUAAAAAUUUACUAAGAAUACCAAAAUACUUUUUUUUUUAAUAGGUUUUAACACUUAUUUUUGGUAGCUUUCUUAAUUAUAAAUUAUUUUUUAUAAAUUUCCAAAAUGAACUUUUUUUCUUUAAAUUGGAAUCUUAUGCUAAAUUGGAAAAAUAUUAUUUUAUAAAGAUUUGGAAAAACAAGAGUUUUUUUUUUUCUUAAAAUAAAGAUUUUAUUCUUAGAGAUCUCAAAGAUUUAAGAAGAUUUUAAAUAAAAUUUAAAUCUCUAAGAAUUCAUUUUAAAAAGAAAAUAAAUCUCUUAAUCCUUCUCCAACUUAUCUUUUCUUAAAAUAAAAUUUCCUAACCAUGCACAUUCCAACAUAAAUAAGUUUUCAAAUUUUGAAAAAUGCAUGAAAAUUUAUUUCCAAUUAAGAAUACCAAAAUAUCUUAAGGCCACAUAUGCAAUUAAUUAAGAUAACAUAUAAUAAAAAUAAGAGAAUAAUAAAAAAGAAUAUUUCCUAUCGCCUUUAGGGAUCCUGUUGCAUAUUUGGUAAUUAAAAAUGGAUAAAAUCCAAAUUACCAAAAUAGCUCUGUAAUCAAAGAUUCGGGUUAGUAAAAAUUGAAAAACCCUAAAAGACCCAAUUGCCAUUAAAAAAAAAAAAAUGAGCCCAAGAAGAGGCCUAAAAUUCAGCCCAAACAACAAAAAAGAAUUGGACCCAUAUGCAAUCUCGUAACAUGUUUUUUGCGUAGCCAUGCAUCAAUUGACCAUAUCUCCCUUGUUUCAACUCCAAAUUAUAAUUCAUUUGAAGCAUUGGAUUCUUGACUUCCUAAGCUUCAAAACCAUAUGAGGCUUGCUCUAAGAAAACCAUGGGAGAUAGUCCCAAUUUUGAGUUAAAAUUGACAUUAUUAUGUUGCCAUAGAUCUCGAAACAAGAACUUCUAAGAAUUUUUUUUCUUUAAUCACCAUAGGAUCUCAAAAAGAAACUUCAAGAUUUUUUUUUCUUGGGUCACCAUAUAUGAAUAUAAAAAACUAAAUUUUUACAAUAAUAAAAAUUCCUAUGCUCUUCUUAUGGAGUUUACAACCCAUCUAUUGAAAAGAAAAGAUUUUUACAACCAAAUAAAAAUCCUAUACCCCUUAUGUGGUGUAGAACCUAAUCUAGAGAAUAAAAAAACAUAGAUCAUAUUCAUUCAUAUUCAUUCAUUUAAUUGAAUCAAUAAAAACAUUUCAUUCAUUCAUCCAUAGGGGUUAUGGGAUGAAUAAAAUAACCCUGCAAAUAGUGUUAGUACACCUUGGAACAAAUCUAACAUGCUAAAACCUAUCAUAGGGCUCUAAUACUAGUUGUUGGAAAACCUGGAUUACACUGUUCCCAAGCCUUGGACUCGUAGAGUGCAUACAUCUAUCCCUAGACAUCUCUAAAUCUAUCGCAACAGAAUAAAAAUAGUUUUAAAACCAUUUUAGAAUAAGAUCUAGAGAUUUGAAAAUCAUACCUAUGAUCUAGAUGUUCCCAUAUCAAAAUCCAUCAAAUGAAGAACAUGCUUGAAAAAUAUGAAGGUCUUGUACACAUAAGAUCUUUCAUCCGAUCACUUAAACCAUGAUCUUUGUACUCCAAAGUGUGAAUAAUGGAAGAAUGGAAGUUUUGGUUCUCUCUCUUUCUUUCUCUCUCUUUCUAGAAGGGGAAGAUGACUAUCUGAAAGUCAUUAGGAAACUCUAACUCAUAAGAGGGUAUUUAUAGGGUUUCCCAUUGGAAUUAAGAGACUUGAGCCCAUCAAGGCUUGGGUCACUUAAUCUAGCCUAAAACGAGUCUUAAUUAAUUAAUUAACCACAUAGGGCCAUCUAAUUAAUCAAUUAACCCAAUUUAGAGACCUUAUUCAUUAUCCAUUAUGCGACCUUGCAAAAUUACUAAAAUGCUUUUAUGUACAAGAAUGAACUUAAAGCUAAUCUAAUCCUUAUAAACUGUGUCAUCAUGCUAUAUGAACUUAGAGUGGGGACCACUAGGACCCAUAGAAGUAUUGGCCGCCUUAGAAUCCAAUUCUGAAGUUGAUUUGACAUUCCACUGAAGAGAAUCAAUUGCACUCCAGUACCCUAUGUAAAUAACAACAAGAUGAAGUUCAGGUCCGUGACCUACUAUUUACUACAUGCAGACUCCUCAUGAACUGGUGUUUGUAAUCUAACAUGGUAGUGCUAUCACCUAUCAAGAUUUCCUUUCAAAUCCUUAAGUUACAAAUCUCACUUAUUAUGUGAUCAACCAACAUACUCUAGCUCCAAGGAGCAAAUAUCAAAUUCCACUAAAGGAAUUAUUAUGGCCAAAGAUUUCAUGAUCACAUGUCCUUUGGAUCACCCAAGGGGACACACUGUCUUAAUCCCUUGUGAUAUCAUGGAGCCUUUAUUAAGAAUACCUAUUGCCACCAACCUCUACCAAUAGUUACCCAAUCAUAGGGAUAUAUGACCACUUUAGGGUCUCACCCAUAUGUCAAAGCCUCUUGUUGAUUUUGACAUAAGCUUAAUAUCCUUUCAAGGUUAAGAGUUCAUGCAAAAUAGUAGCUUGAUGAAUCAUGAAAAUUGAUAACCUUACUUCAUGAUUCACCACAAGUCCUGUCUAGUGUGCAUCACAUACACUAGUGUACUUACCAUAGGAAACCUAUCCUAAUUGCCAUGAUAAGUCAUCCCUUAAAUUAGUAAAUGGUACACUACAGUUUAGAUUGGAUUGCCUAAAUCCAUGAACUAACUGUGGACAACUUAUCUAAUUACAAGAAACCAAUGACUUGUAUCUUCUAUGCAACUCCUAAUGCAUACAAGUCAUGUAUAAUGUAAGAGACAUGAACUGAAUGCUCAAAUCAAUGUCAAUACUCCAAAAGGAUUGUAAGAGGACAAUUAAGUCUAACUAUGUCACAUCAUGUCAUGCUUUUAGGGGCUCAAUCUCAACAGUCAUGACUCACUGUAGGUCAUAUCCAAUGUGUAACCAUACACACUAGUUCACUCACCAUAUGAAUCUCAUCCCGAUAGCCAAGACCAUCCAUUCCUUCAAUUAAAAGGUUACCACUACAGUCUCAAAUGGAUUGUCUAAGUCCAUGAACCAAUUGUGAUCAAAUCCUCUACUUGCAAAGAACUCAUGAAUUGGAUCUUGUGUGCAACUUGUAAUGCACCCAAGUUAUAUAUAAUGCAAGAGAUACUAGGUGAGAAUGCUCAUAAAAUAUAAUGUAUAGAAUAAUGAUAGAUAAAAGUAAAAAUGAAAUAUUAUUAAAUGAAUAAUGAAUUCCAAAUCUGUUACAUCUUGUCAUGCUUUUAAGGACUCUAUCUUAACACACAUCUUGUCAAGAAGUUGUGGCAUUUCAUGGCGAUUGAAAACAAAAGGUAAACACUACAGGCUUGCUACUACCCCUUCCCCCCCCCCCCCCCCUAUUUUACUUGGAUUUGUAACAAAAGUCCAUUUUUCAUCUUCAUUUAACUUAUCCUCUUAUUGAGUUUCAAACAAGAGACCAUGUGAGUUGCAGUUGUCAUAUCUUUAUUGAAGAACUCUGGAGGGAAGUAUUCCCCUUAGGUGAUAGGAGUGAGUGAUGAGUUUUUGUAACAAGAGGUCAUCAAUUUGUAUAAUCAUUUGUUUUCUUUUGCGGUUCCUUUUUUUCCUUUCUUCUUAGGAUGUUGAUAGGUAUUUUGCUCACAUCAUUCUCUCUUAGGAAAGUUAGGUUGUGGAUAAGGGAUUUUUUUUUUUUUUUUUGCAAGGUUUUCUUCGAGUCACCAAUGUUCAACCUUCUUUACUAUCUAAUAUUGAUUAAUUGUUAGAGUUAGGGUAAAGAAGGUAGCCUUGGUAUGGAACUUGUAUUUGCCUUAGCUUAGUUCAUUUGUAUCAAAUAGUCCUAAUACAUGCCCUUGAUAUCUUAGGUGGACCAUGUAACUAAAAGGGAUCAAAUGACCCAAAUGUGAUAGUAGCAUGAUUUGACUCUACUAGGUCAUCGAGAUUUGAAUGAGUCUUUCCUUGUUUUGCAAGAUUCAUCAUGAGUUCUUUUAAGAUGAAACAUUUCUUCACUAAUUGACUUAAAAUUCGAUGGUAAUGGUAGUACUUUGGAUCAUGACCCACUUCUUCUAGGUGCUUACUCUUGGGUAAUUCAAUGACUUUUUUUUGGAGGUCUUCUAACAUGAUAGGCACAUUAGAGUCAAGAAAAUGAUACUUCUUUUUCAGUUCCUUCAAGAUGAAACAUCUCCUCUCUUUUUCGUAGGUUGGUCUAGUUUGUCUCACCUUUUUCUUUUUAUCUUGUGUUGAUUUUUUUUAUAGGAGUUGUAUUCAAUGUCAUUGACUCUUCGAUGGGUUUCUUUAAUGUAUUAUUACCUUUCUUCCCAUCAUCUCUUUUCUUUCAUUGGUCAAUGAUAAGGUCUUUAUUUGCCCCAUGUUUUGCUAUUUUGAGUUCCAUGUCCUAAGCUCAAGUAGCCAACUCUUUGAAGGUGUGGGGUUGUAUCUCUUAGAAGAUGUAUAGUUGAACUAAUGCAUUCCCUAUAUGCACAUACUUGAUAUCUCGAAUAAUUUAUCCUUGCAAUCAAGGCUUAUGGAAUGCUAGUGAUUGAUGUAGUCAAUGAGUGACUCGUCUUUCCAUUGCUUGGUAUGGGUAAGCUCAAUCAUUCUUACAAUUCAUUGGGUACUAUAGAAGUGAUUAAGGAAUUCAGACUUUAUUUGGUCCUAAUUAUCAAUGCACUUGGGCGCAAGGUUUGUGUACUAAUCAAAAGGAUUCCUUCGAAGGGAACAAACAAAUUGUUUGAUUAACAAGUCACCCUUUGUUCUUGCAUUAUUGCAAGUUUUGACAAAAUAGGCAACAUUUUGCUUUUGAUUUCCCUUUCUAUCAAAUGAUUGAAGCUUUAGAGGUUGAUACCCUACAAGCAUACAUAGGUUAUCAAUCCUCUCAGUGUAAGGCUUAGAGUACAUGAGUGUAUUUGUGAAAGUCCACCAUAUUGAGAUCUAAUGGUGUUAGUUAUCAUGUCUUAAAGUUGUUGGAUAGAUAGUGACACCACCAAAGUGGAUUUCACCAUUUGCCUCUUGAGCUGCAUCAUCUUAGACACAUGUGGUGUAUCAUCAAGAAAUGUAACUUUUGGAGGGUGAUUGAGUCAUUGACUUCACUUAUCCAUAUUUUGUGCUUGUGCCUUGACCUUGUUCAUGCAGGGGGUUAUUUAAAGAUUUUUAUCCUCCGCGAUCUUGGUGAAUUUGGUGAUAACAUAAGCCAUCUUAGCUAAUUAUUUUUUUUACGAAUGUAGUGUCUGUUUAAGAAGGAAGAAGUAAAAGAGUUGGAAUGAUCGGAGGAGAUGUCCUUCUUUGACAUCUGAGUUGGUGAUCCAAAAUAUGAGUUGGUGCUAGAGUUGGUAUUGGUAAUAAAGUAAGGGGACUUAUCCUCAAAGUCUUUUAGUGUUGAAAAGUGUUUUCCUUACUAUGAGGAUUUUGACCCUUUGCUCCUAAAGAGGCCAAGGUGAUGAAUUGUUGGUACUCAUCAUGCGUUCUUAUUGGUUUUAGAAAACAAGUAUGCUUGCUUGCUUGUUUUAAUGAAAGUGCAGUAGUUGAUUUUGCUUUUCUAUGAGUCAUUGGGCCUAUAGGGAUGUUGUGUGUUGAUUGAGAAAUGACAAUCUUAUCAUUGCCUUGUUGACAUGCGUACCUUGAAUUUUUUUGGAUACCAUUGUCUUAUUAGUGAUAAUUUUUUUUAGUGAAAGAGAUGAGAGGUAAAGAUAUCCCAUUAGGCGUGCCAUAAAUUUGUGCACACAAAUUUUGUAAAGUCCUACAAAAUGAGUAAAAUUUGAAGGAAAAAUAAUACGAAUAAAAAUUUAUAUUAAGUUUGUCAUACAUUUCAUGAGGGAAACACAUCCAUUGAGUUUAUGAAAUUAAAGCUUUUUCCAUUCACAUUGAAGGAUAAGGCUAAGUUAUGGUUCAACUCAUUGAGGCCCCAAAGCAUAAGGUCAUGGUUGGAACUACAAACAACCUUCUUAAAGAAAUUUUUUUCCCACACAUCGCACAAGUGGCUUGAAAAGGUAAAAUUGCCAACUUUGUGGCAUUGGACGAUGAAAAAUUUUAUGCUUGUUGGGAAAGAUAUAUGGAAGUAGUCAAUGCUUGUCCUCAUCAUGGUUUUGACACAUGGAUGUUGGUGAGUUACUUCUAUGAGGGCAUGUCGCCAACUAUGAAGCAAUUGCUAGAAACCAUGUGUGGAGGUGACUUUAUGAGCAAAAGUCCCGAUGAAGCCUUUGAAUUUUUAAAUUAUGUGGCUGAAAUAUCAAGGUCUUGGGAUGAGCCACAUGAAAGGGAUUUACAUAGGUCCAAGUCUCAAAGCAAUUCAAAAGGAGGAAUGUAUAUGUUGAAUGAAAAUGUUGAUCUACAAGCUAAAAUGAUAGUUUUGACAAAAAGGCUAGAGGAACUUGAAGCUAAGGGAUUUCAUGAGGUGAAUGCAAUAUAUGAUAAUCCAAUUUACAUGGAGCAAUGUUCUAGUUGUCAAUCUAUAGAACAUGAAGUGAGUGAUUGUCCUACAAUACCAACUAUGGGGGAAACACUUGUUGAGAAUCAUCCGAAAAUGUCAUGGAAUUGUGGACAAGAGCAAUUUUCUUCAAGCCAAUACUCACAAAGCCAACAAUUCAUGGAAGACUUUCCACAACAAGUUCCUUUGGUUGAGCAAGCUAUUGUAAACUUGAGUAAAAUUUUGGGUGAUUUUAUUGGUGAUCAAAAGAAUAUCCAUACUCAAAUAAAUCAAAGAAUAGAUCAUGUGGCGAAAUCUUUCAAUCAUAAAUUUGAUAGCUUGCAAACUAAUCUCACACAAAAGAUUGAUAAUAUGUAGCUUGCUAUUUCUAAACUCACAAGCAUGCAUACGGUGCAAGAAAAAGGAAAAUUCUCUUCACAACCCCAACAAAAUCCAAGUGGAGCCCAUGAAAUUGGAGAGACAAGUGAAAGUUCUACUAAGGAGGAUGAAGUCAAAGCAAUCAUUACCUUAAGAGGUGGUAAGCAAGUUGAUCAACCUAUGCCAAAACCAAGAGAGAAUAAAGAUGGGGAACAAAAGGAAAAUGUGAAAGAACAAGAAAAAGGGAAAGAGGUGAAUGAGGAUGAUAGAUCAAAGGAAGAUGAGAUUGUUAAAGAAGAGGUUAAGAAGAAAGAUAUGCUCUUAGCUCCACCUUUUCCCAUGGCUCUUCAAUCCAAGAAAGUGGUAAAUAAUGCUCCAAAAAUUUUUGAAGUUCUCAAGCAAGUCAAAGUCAAUAUAGCACUCCUUGACAUGAUUAGACAAGUUCCAGCCUAUGCCAAGUUUCUUAAGGAUUUGUGUACCAUAAAGAGAGGGAUUCAUUUGAAAAAGAAAGCUUUCUUGAUGGAACAAAUUAGUGCAAUCAUCCAAUGCAAAACCCCAAUCAAGUAUAAGGAUUCGGGAUGUCUAACUAUCUCGGUGAAGAUUGGAAACACUUUUGUGAAAAGAGCACUUUUAGACUUGGGGGCAAGUGUGAAUCUUCUUCCUUACUCGGUAUAUAAGCAAUUGGGGCUUGGAAAACUAAAGUCUACUUCCAUCACACUUUCAUUGGUGGAUAGAUCGGUUAAGUUUCCAAGAGGAAUUACUGAAGAUGUGUUGAUCCAAAUCGAUAACUUCUAUUAUCUGGUUGAUUUUGUGGUGCUUGAUACACAUCAAGGAACUAGUGGACUCAACCAUGUUCCUAUUAUACUUGGCUGACCUUUCCUUGCCACAACAAAUGCAUUGAUUAAUUGUCGAAAUGGGGUGAUGCAACUUACCUUUGGUAACAUGACAAUUGAGUUGAACAUUUUCCCUUCAUGUAAGAAGCAUGGUACCAAAGAGGAAGAGGAACUUAAGGAGGCUUAUUUGAUUGAAUUGCCUAUGGAAGAGCUAGUGAAAGAAAAUGUUGAAGAUAAUUUUUCAAAACUUGGUGAAGUAAUUUCCAAUGAACGGAUUGAAGUUUGGAGGAUCAAUGAAGAAAUUCAACCUUUGAAGUUAAUGAAAUGGUCUUUCAACUUCAAGAAAGUGAAAUCCAUGAAGCAUGGUGUGCACAAUAAUCCAAAGACCAUGAAAAAGAAGCUCAAGGAAUGACAUGACCAACUUAUUCAAAAGAACAAGUUCAAAGAAGGCUAUUUCAAGCCACAUAUUUUUCCGGGAAAGCUUAAGUACCAAGGAGUUGGUUCAUUCAUUGUUUGCAAGUCAUAUCCAAAUUGAGUAUUGAUGCAAAAGUUAAUGGGCUUAGUCAUGUCAAUGGCUAGCUAGCCCAAUGAUUUCUCAAUUCUUUAGUUUCAUUUGAAUUUUGAUUUUUUGAUUUUGAUUUUUUUUAGUAUCCAUUAAAUAAAUCCAUCUCAAUUCUUUGAUUUGUGUUUUGAAGGACUUUUCAGAUGGAUGGAAUGCAUGAAGCAAGGAAAAAGGAGUUUUAAUGGUCCAUCACCAUUUUGCACGUUCAUGCAAAAAUAGGGGAAUCAUGCCAAAAAACAGGGGAGUUUUCAUAGCUUUGCAAAUGUGAAAAAUAAGUCUUUGUCCCAAUUUGCAUGAUCAUGCGAAAAUUUCGCAUGACUGUGCGAAACUGAUGUGGAUGACUACAACAAUUUGAUGCCCCUAGACCAUUUCGCAUCAGGAUGUGAAUUUUUGCAUCAAUAAGAUAAAGCUCUCUUCACCAAUUCGCAUGUACUUGCGAAUUUUCGCAUGAUUGUGCCAAAUUAUUUCAAAAGAAGAAAGUAGUUGCAACGCACUUCACCUUCUUGUCUAGUUUGCACACUUGUGUGAAAUUUUCAAAAACUCCGUGAGAAUCAUUGACUUAUCAUUGAAAUCAUGUUUCCUUUGGACAUUGUCAUCAUCUAUACCUUGAUUUUACUCCAUACAUUGUCUCUAACAUAGUUUUUUUUGGUUUUUAAUACAUUUUUUUUAAUAUUUUCUUCUCUUAUGUCAUUCAUAUCCAACAAUUCUCAUGUGUAAUCUUAUUUUUGUUUUAGCUAUUGAAGCUGAAAUUCAUGAGAGAUUGAGGUAUCUUCCCUUCCUUUCUUUGUAUAUUUUCAUUACACAUUGAGGACAAUGUACAAGUUAGGUUAGGGGGAGGAUUAGUUUUGAGUACUAUAUUCGGGGGCUAGCUUAAUUACACUCAAGACUUGUUUGGAAAGAUUGUUUGGGGAAUGAAGAUGGAUACGUUUUUGAUACCUUGAUUUGCAUGAUAUUCUUUCUAUUAGAGAUAGUAAAUAAGUUGGGAUUUUGUUGAUACCUAUGGAUAAUAGGGUGUGCUUGUUUAUCAACCAUUUAUGCUAUGGAAAUUUCAAAGAUUUGUUUUCAAAUGAUUUGCUUAUGUGACUUGUGAUUUCUUUUGUUGGCAUCGUUUUUCUUUCCUUUUGUUAUACCAUUGCUAAGGGACUAGCAAUGUGUUGGUUGGGGGGAAUGCUUACUACUCAAAAAGAGCAUAUUUUAGAUAAUAAUUCUCACGAGUUUCACAUCUUUUGAGUAGUAAUUAUGCCUAAAACACUCAAUUAACAUGUUUUUGCCCUUCCAAGAGUUACUAACAAGUUUUAUGAAGUUUUGGAGUCAUUUCAAGGUAUGAUUUUGAUAAAUUGGUGACAAAAGAGAUGAAUCAAAUUGAAGAAAACAAAUAAAGUUGAUGAUGAUCCAAAUGCAUAAUGAAAGAAGCAAUGCAAUCGGUUUGGAUUGGGAUUUGGAGCUGAAUUGAAGGUGGUAGAGGUGGAUUAAAAAUGAAAAAAUGGGAAAAUUUGCAAAGAGGAGUCGAAAAAGCAUGUUUUUCAAUUUCGCAUGACCAUGUGAAAUGAAACAGAAUGGGUUUUGGCUGUAGCAUACUAAGAGAAAAGUGAAAACCAAUUUCACAUGACCAUGCGAAAUUUUCUCACAGUCAUGCGAAACGGUCCAAGAAGACGAAAAUAAUGCUGAUGGAUCCUCCACUUCGCACCAUCGUGCGAAAAUGUAUGUUCUCCAAAUUCCUUGAUGAAGAAGCCUCUGGAAGACCUCUUAGAUGAUGCCAAGUGUCCACUUGACCUUGGCCUAUAAAUAGAAACUUGAUUGACUUAUUUGAAGACUUUUGAUACAUUUCUAAUUUGAGAACUUUCCAGAUUUCUUCUCUUUAUAUAAUUCUCUACUUUCCUUCAUUUUCUCUCAUUUUCUCUCAUUUUCUCAAUAGCCAAACAUGUUUUGUGAGAUCAAAUCUCCAAGCAUGAGUGGCUAAAUCUCGUUUUUCUAGGGGGAGGUUAGAUCUAUGUUGAAUUAGAGAAAUGAGCUUGAAUUGCAAAGGUAAUUUGAUCCAAUUGAUUGAUUAAUUGAAAUUUGGGGAUUUUUCUCUUCAAAUUGUCUUGGAUGAUUACUACAAUGCAAGCUAGGUAGAUUAAUCAAAUUCUUAAAACUAGAUUUGAUGAGAUUGAAUAGUUGCAUUUUGUGAAUCAUUGGAAGAUAAUUUAAGAUGAAUUGAAUUGAUCUCUUGGAUUAAAUGGCCUAAUUUGAAGAGAAAUUAGAUCUAGACCUAAAGCUAAAUCAAAAAUCAGUUUAGAUGAAAAUUUAGGUUUUCAAUCUAACUUGAUGAAAAUUAGAUCUCAACAUCUAUUCACCAUGGAAAUUGCUUUCUAGAAUAUCCUAACUCCGAGAAUUUCAUCUCCUAUUAAUUUUCUUUUAUUUUACAUUUUAUUUUUCUUCUCAAUUUUAGACCAUUGUCAAAUUGAUUUUUCAUCAUGAAUUUUCAAAUCAAUUUCACUUGAUCACAAUAAUUUCUUAUCCUAUCAUUCAAGCCUUAAUUACUGAGAAUAAUUCAUCCUAGUGGACAACACCUAAAAACCACUUUACUAGGUAGUUUGUACUAAAAAAAUUUUUGAUCGGGUACAAGCUGCUCUAGAAUAGUGAAUUAGGUUAUAAAUUUUGUUUUGAUAAAAUAAACAACAAAAAUCUGAGCGAUCAACAACUCUUAAACAAUAGGAGUGCAUUUGCUUAUUUUCUUCUUUGUGUUCGUUUUAUGCUGAAAGCGCAAUAUGAAGUGGUACUUUUAUAGGGUAAUGCAAUUUGAAUGUUUAUUAUUAAUUCUUAAGUUCAAUGAAUUUGUUAGUGGUUAAUAAAAAGAGUACCAUUUGAAAUACUAUUAAUAAACAAUGUGAGAGAGAUGAUAAUCGAAAAGCAAGAAGAUCAUAGAUAUAUUAAGAGUUCUUUCACAUGUAUAGUUAGUUUUUUAUUACCUUUUACUCUUGUCCGAAUGUAUUUUGUUAGAUAAAUCUAAUUUCAUUGAACAUGUAGAAGAUUCAUAUCUUUCUUCAAAUGUAGUAAGAAGUCUUACAAUUUCAUGGUCCUUUAGGAGAGCUUAAUAACAUAAAGGUUCCUUCCAUAGUUAAAUGAUUUUUUAUUUGGUUGGUGAUUGUAGACUUUAAACAAAGGAAUACUACAAACCUUUGGACUAUUUGAUUCUUAGCUACUUUUAUUAUCAUGUUAUAGGUUGAAAAAUAUUUUAUAGUAAUUUCAUAUAUUCAUCUAGACAAACAAUAUAU
Molecule: long non-coding RNA, 62060 nt
Filed under: Vitis vinifera (wine grape)
Lineage: Eukaryota; Viridiplantae; Streptophyta; Magnoliopsida; Vitales; Vitaceae
Description: long non-coding RNA (VVIN_LNC002160)
Rfam family: MIR845_2 microRNA precursor family (bases 24202-24331)
Source: RNAcentral